RNAcentral lists this long non-coding RNA (54393 nucleotides) under Phoenix dactylifera (date palm). Its description in RNAcentral is "long non-coding RNA (PDAC_LNC002162)". Lineage: Eukaryota; Viridiplantae; Streptophyta; Magnoliopsida; Arecales; Arecaceae. The record is from RNAcentral.
GGCAUUUACAAGGCAAAUUGUGAGAGAGUUAGGUUUUGGCCAUGAGCCAUGAGCAAGGGAGAUAAUCUCAACCAACAAUCACCAACUAAGAUAAUAAUAGUCCCUUUAAGAGAUUCAGGUUGAAAAGUCAAGGAAAAAAAAUAAAAAGAUACCAAUUAGAGUCCUACAAGAUAAGCCCCUGCUAAGGGGCUGUCAUGGAUGGAAAAAGAGCUGCUGGUCUAUAAUCAUUAUUUUCUAAUUUUUAUAUUGUUUAGAAUAGAACAAACAAAACAAUAAAAAUCUCUAGAGAAUAGCUAUUUAGAGUCCAAAGAGACAAGAUGCCUUGGAAUGAGAAAUAUCAUUGAUUGUGGGAACUCAAAAAUCUAAGAUUAAAGGUGUGGAAGAGUGGUGAUUGUUAAAAGACCAUACAAAAUGGAAUUCCAAUGAUACAAAUUAUUUCCUGAUAUUCUACUUCAAAACUUUUGGGGGACACAUUGAAGGAACUUUCAGACUUAGUGGAUCAAUUGUGUGCCACAUUAGAGAAAUUUUCAGACUCAUGUAUGGUAUUGCUUAAAAAAGUGCUUUUAAAGUCACUUUCUAAAAUGCACUUUCUUAAAAAAUAGUGUUUGAUAACAUUAUCUGAAAAGUGCAUCUAUAAGAAGAAAUAGUCAGACGUGCUUUUAGAAGAAGCAAGAAAACCUAGAUUUUGGCUUCUCUUUUUAUAAAAUAGAAGGAAAACCAAACAUGCUGUUUGGGGGGGGGGGAACCCCUCGGCGGUGCCCAUAUGGCUCCCCCUUGAAACUUGUAUUUAUCUUUCCCACAAUCCUUAUAUGGAAACUAAAAGUCUUAUAAGGAAAGAUUGGGGCUGAGGCAGGUUUUAAAGGGAAAGAAUAUAAUUUAUUAUUUUGAAAAGUGGGGAAGUGCUUUGUCCUCUUGCCAUGUUGCCAAUGGAUUAUAGAUAUUUAAUUUAUACUAGUUAUAUUGGACUGCUAAAGAUUUUAAAUUUGGAAUAAUUAAACUAAAAUCUAAAUUCUAAAGAUAACUAAUUUAUAAAGUUUCAAUGCAUUAUCCCUCACCUUAGUCUCAUGGUUGAGAAGUAUUACUCUUCCUCCUCUUUGAAAGUUCCUAGAGUCCAGAUACACUAAGAUAUCUUUCUUAGGAGCUUUUGGAGUCUCGUCUUCUAUAGAAGUCUUGCAACUUUUAAAUCCUUUACAAGAGAAAACCAAUCAGGGGUAUUCUUAGAUUUAAAAUUUGGAAAUUAAGCUGCUUUUUAUAGUUUAAGGAUGAAGAAACAGGCAGGGAGUUGGAAAAGUUAUUAGAGAGAGAAAGAGAGGCAAAUUUGAACGAAGACUUCCAUAAAUGGUGAUAGGCUUUAUUUUGGCAUUGAUUUCUUAAAAGAAUUUGGCUUGCCAUUUUAAAGAUAAGAUUUUUAAAUUUCUCCCUUGAAAAGGUAUCUUGUCUAGUGGAGCUCAAAAUCUAUUCCAAACUUUGUGUCUACUUUGUCUACUACUUAGAAAAAGCCCCAAGGCUUUUAUGACUGAAUCUGUGAAACAACAAUAUCUGGUAACACUUUAAAAUUUUUAUUACUAUAAUAUUAAUAAAUCAUGCAAUUUUUAUGUCUUUACUCUUUAUUUAAUCAUAAUAAUGUACUUUUACCUAUUAUACCCUAUGUGAGGUAAAAGGUUGGUAUGCAUAGUAGGGUUUGAACUAUUGUAAUUUGUAAAGUAAUUAUACCAACUUGAAGGGCAAUCAUCUUUUUGUAUACUUAUAAAAUACUUGUAGAACAAUUCAUUGGUAUAAGUAAAUGUUAGUUGGCCUUAUUAAAUUUAGAUGGUAAUUUUAUUUUAUCUAGUGCAUUGUAAUUAUCAACAGCCUACAAAUAAAAUAUUAAUAAGAGGGCAGGAUCCAUCUCAGUUAUUGAUAAGGGAUAUAUCUGAGUGAGUGGAUGAUUCUAGCAGCUGGGUCUAUUUAGAUUGUGUUUAUUAUGUUGAGAAGCAUACUUGAUAAGGAGGACUUUGUGAUCCAAAUCCCUCUAUAUAACCCAAGUGGUCAGACUCCAAAGAUGAUCUAUCAAUUCUAUCCAUCAGAAGGAUCUCAUAUCUGGAGGGGACUUGGAGCUAUUAGAUUGUGAUUAGGGAUGAAAAUGGAUCGGAUAAAUAUCCAUUUGGCUUCUGUAUCCAAAAUUUAGCAUCCAUCUAACAUUUGUAUUCAUAUUUAUAUCCAUCGUAGUAAAACAGAAAUAGAUCCGAAUACACAAAUAAUUAAUCCGUACAUGAAUAAUUGAUUUCAUUUACAAUCCUAUUUAGUCUCGUAUAACUCUUAUAAACUUCAAAGAGAAAUAAGUAGCAACAUCAACAUCUUUUAUUUGAUUUUCUUUCCAUAUAGUGAUAUCUUUAAUUUGGUGGAUUGCAUCCUUCACCAUCAGUUUUUUAAGCUAAAGUAUGUAACCUAGAAGAAUUGUGAGGAUUCACUAAAAGAGUUAGGUGAUUGAGUGGAUGUAAUUAUUUCUUUGUCGUUUUAUGUAUAAUCAUUUGUUUGUUUUAGAAAAAGUAAUAAAAAAUGGAGAGGUUCGCAUACUCAUUUUGAAUUCAUAAAACAUAGAACAAAAUAAUGUUCUAUUGAUAAGAACACCAGUGAAACAAGUAUCCAUUCCAUAUUCGAUCUGUUUCCAGUGCUGAUUGUGGUAGAGAUGUAGGGCUAAUACAUUAGAUGCCUUGGCGUUUGGGCUCUAAAUUUAUCAGCACUAAGAGGUAAUUCUAAACUUUGUUCCUGCAAAAGUUAAACAAACACAUUUUGCCAAUUGAUAAUAAUUCAAUCCUGUUAAACAUGAUGAUUCCUUUUGUCUGAAACAAUACAAAGAGAACUUUGAUAAUUCCUUUAAUUUCUUCUCUAGCUGAUAAAUAUUUUAUUAUUUAAAGUGGAUGCCAUCUUGCAGUAUUACAUAUUUAGCUGCCCCCCUCCCCCCGUGCCAAAUCCUUGCCCCACCCCUAUGCAUAACAAAAACUUCGGAUUUUUUUGGCGCUAUAUAAGCAUAACUAAGAAAAUUCACAGUUGUGUUAGGUUUUUUUUAAUAUUUAAGCAUCAAAAAAAAAAAAUCUACACAGCAUAUAACAUUACAAAGGAUGAAUAUUAAUCAGGUCAAGAGCCCCACUCAUUAAAAGGUUCUAGUUACUUUUAGAUCUUAGAAAUAAUAGUGCCUCGUACAUGAAAGAGAUGAAAAUCAUCCAAAGAAAUUACUCUAUGAUAUCCACUACCUGCCAACCCAAAUUCCAAGAUCUCACCCUCCAUCUUCCACAAGGUAUCUUAUCGAGGGAGCCAUCUUCAACCACAAGAUGAUCAUCUCCUUCUUUACCACUAUAUAGUGCUUUAAACCUCAUCCUUUUCUUUUUCUUUCUUUUUACACAUCAUUUCCCUUUUCUACCAUAGGGAAAAAAAUAAGAAGAAUCCUUCAAUCAGAUUUUCUUUUCACUCCAUAUCAAAAGGUGCUCAGUUUUCAGCUGAAAACUUUAUAGUAGAUAAGAUGCUCUCAAUCAGCUGUCUUGAAUAAAAAAAGAAACUAAGUUUCAUGACAAUGCAACUUGUGGGCAUAUUUAUCUGAGUAAUUAUGAGCACAUAAAGACAAUGUCACCUAGAAAUGUGACACAGAUGUCAAAUGUCCCAGUGUUCAUAAGAACCAGAUACGGGAUCUUUAAAAAAAAACCUAUAUUUAGAAGUGUCCAGAUAGCACUGCAUAAAAAUAAAUACUUUUCAUGCACAUAAUCCCAUCAAAAAUUCCUGUAGAUAGCCAUAAAAAAAUAUAAUAUAAGGAAUCAUACUCUGAAAUCUCUCUCGUGGCUCAAGAAGUUUAUCUGGAGCCCAACUUCACUUUUUAUUUUUUAAAGAAAAGUAUGGUGGGGACACCACCACCAGGGUUUGAACCCUCAACCUCUCCCAGCUGAGCUUAAGGCUGGUUGGCACCCACUUCACUAGUUUACAUCUUUUAUCCGGACUAGGUCCAAUCAAUUCAUCAAGGAUUCACCAGUUUACAUUUCAAAUGAAGUUCAGGACUGGUUGAACAUCCCUGAAACUCAGUGGACAACUACAGCAAGGUGCUAGCAAACUAGGUCAUAUUGCAUGUAUCUUCUCAACAUGCUGAUGCAAAAAACUAUUCAGGUUAUCAGAAGCCGCAACAAAAUGUCAGAAAAACUAAAGAUAAUAUAACAAGUACCUUGAUCACAUUUCGGUGAUAGAGAUGAGACAGAAACGUGACUUCUCUAGCAAACUGCUUUUCCAGUCGUGCAGCCAUCACUCCAUUUUCGUCAUCAUUAGGUUGCUUGAUAAUUUUCACAGCAACAGGCUGAUCCUUAUAAAUACCACGGUGUAACCUGCUAUGAGCUCCAGAGGCAAACCGAAGCCCGACGUACAGUUUGGAGAGAUCAACAGUCCAUUUCUCUGUGGUCUCCAAGGCAGUGACUCUCCCUCCUCCAUAAUCAAAAUAUCUUGCCCAAGAAGAGUCAUUCCUGCUCUUCAACUUCUCAGAGGCUUUACCUGAAGACAAAUGCUGAAGAGGACUCAGAUUAGGAGGUGAUGGGGAAGCGAACUCAUGAUGCUCAUGGGACUUAUCGGAUUUCUUCCGGCUAGGAGGUGGGGUAGAGAAUCUCUUUCGCAUGUGUCUAGCUUCUUUAAAGACAUUUGAAAUGACAGUAGUGGGAAUAGGAGAUUUUGACCUCUGCUUGGGCUUGUUCCAAUUUCUAUCAUUAGUAAUCAUACUAGAAUUGUGAGAAUCGGGAUAUAAUUCAGUCCUCCCAGAAGAGAUAGAAACCAUGUUUGAACCUGAACUGUUAGAGCUCAAACUAGUCUUCAAGUUCUCAGAGGCUCUAAUUGAAGACAAAUGCAGAAAAUCACUCAUUUUUGGAGGUGACGGUGAAGCGAACCUGCCACUCUCAGGGGUCUUAUUAGAAUUUUUCCUGCUAGGUGGUGGGCUGGAGAAUCUCUUUCCAAUCAACUUAGCUUCUUUAAAGACAUUGGAAAGGAUUGUAGUCGGAAGAGGAGAUAGUGACCUCUGCUUGGAUUUAGAGUUCUGUUUGCUACCAUCAGAAAACAAGCUAGUUUUAGGAGGCUCAUAAUCUGUUAUAGCCCUCCCAUAAGAUAUAGAAACCUUACCAGACUCCAAGCUCUUUGGAUUCGGGCCAGAAUCUCUGUCAGGAUAGAAAGAGAAAUCAGAAGAGUCUAAACCUGAGCCCUCUGGCUGCAGCUUCGAGGGAUUACUAUCUGGUCGGAGAGAUAAUGGAACUGAGGGCAAACUAGGAGCCACCACACUUGUCUUCUUUGUGUUUGGGCCCAAGCUGCGAUCCGAUCGUACCUUAGACAGCACAGAAGGAUCUGAAUUCAAGCUUUUCGCUUUUACAACCGGAUCAUUGUCGGGUUGGAAAGAGAACGGAACCGAAGACACAUUUGAAGACUCUAAAAUUGACGCCUUUGGCUUGAGCCCCCUCCCAGAAUAGAGUCGAGCCGACGAUGGAAUCGCCUGGCUAGAUGAAUCCAGAUUCGAGCUCUUCGGCUUCGAUUCCAAACUUGAACUCCUAUUUUUCGACUCUAGAUUCAAGCUCUUCGGAUUCAAUUCCAAGUCACAAUCACGAAUCGAAGGCGACCUCGAAGAAUUCCACCGGUGAUAAACGGUAUGCGAAAACUUUGCCCUCCUCACCCAAGAAGUGCACUCUUCCUCCAUUUUCUCCAAUUUCACUCAACAAUACCACCAACGAACGAUCCAAACUCCAACCCCAAUUUUUUCAAUCUAAAGAGAAUCUUAAUCAAAGAAACCUCGACGACCAGAGCAUGGAUCUCAGAAUCCCUCCAAAUCCAUCACGGAAACCCCGGCAGCAAGGCUUCUUGAACCCUACUGCCAUCCACAUCGAAUCCUACCGAGCUCCAGUCGGCCUCCCCAAUCCGAUUAAACUACUCCAUAAAUCCUACAAACAAAAAAUCAAAAAAUCAACUUUAAUAGAAGGAAAAGGGGGGAAAAAAAAGCAACACAGGUCCCAUUCAACGAACGGGUCGAUGAGACCAUCACUGUUUUCUUAUUCACCUCAUUAACAUCGAAAUCGGAUUCAAAUAUCUCCUUUUCUAGAAAAGUAGCAAAAAACACCACACAGGAACCCUUUUUAGCGUCCCGGCACGGGUUCCUCGCCAUCGAAAAAAAAAAAGCCCGGAAUUUUAUCAAACCAAAGAAGAGAGGGACAGAAUGAAGCGAUACCUGGAUUCAAAAGAAGAAGAAAAGGGACGGCGACAUAAAGAGAGAGAGAGAAAGAGAGAGAGGCGGCUCCUCCUGGCGGCCCUGCGAAACGUGGAAGAAAGACGAGAUCUUUUCUUAGAUUUGGAGGAUGGAGAGUACGGAUUUGUCCCUCCUCUUGCUCUAUUUGGAGGCGUAUAUUAUACCGUACAAAAUACGGUCCAGUCAACGGACUACUUUUAGUAAUCUCGUAACAAUAAUUGCAGCGAGUUGAUAAAGAGCACCUUCCUUUUUCUCUAAGACACCUCUCCUAGUAUCUCCAGCAUUUAAUUGGAGAAUUCAGAACAGAAUAGGGCUCAAAUACUUUGAAACUAUAUAAUUACAUCAGUUAAUUUUGCUUUAAUAUAAGACCGUGAAAAUUUAGUGUCCAUUUUGGAGCCAUAUACGUCAAACUUUCAGAUACGUAUUUGUCGUCGUCAUAUAUUAAAUAAUGUACCUAAAGAAUGGCUCAAAUACUUUCAAACCGCCGCCAAGUUCGUCAUGAAUGGUAUGCAGGUCAAAAGCCGAAGCUUCCAUAUCAUGCAUCAUUUGCUUAAAUGAGAAAUGUUUAUUUAUUUAAAAUUAUUGUCAAAUAUUCUUGACACAAACAAAGUUGCUAUUCUUCGUUCAAGCGGCCCUACAAAACUAUUUCUAUUUCAUCGCGUCACUCUCGAUUCACGCACGCGCGUGGUGAUGGAAAAAUAGACCCCGAGGGGGUCGUUUCCAUGGUAAACGAAGAACGAUGGAGUCGGAGAUAUUUAUAUUAUCUUAUAUUAUUCUUGACGAGAAAUGGGGCGGUGGAUGGGAGCAGGGCGGUUUUUUUUUGUUUGCUUUCGGUUUGUUUUGGUUUUGGUGCGGGAGGGAGGCUGGCGGUCAGCUAUGCUGCCGGGGAUUUCGCACGGGUGCGCGCACGCACGGCUACUCACUUUAUAAUUUAGAUAAUGAAAUUUUAUAUUCAUAAAAUAAAAUUAUUAUUGAAAAGAUAAUAAUUAAAUUAAUAGUAGGCUAAUAUAAUUAUUUAUUUUUUAAUAGUUCAUGAGUUUUAUAAAAAAAUUAAAUAAAGUUAUAAAUAUAAUUGGAUAGUUGUCUACCUAAAUCAAUAUCUAUUUUUUUUUAAGGAUACGAAUACGAAUACGGAUAUUAGUUGGAUACUCGAAUUUCUAUUUAUAUCCAAAUAAAUUUGGAUACGAAAACCGAUUCAAAUGAAUAUUAUCCAAUCUACUUUCAUCUGUAGGUACUGAGGUUAAAAUUGAUUGCUUGCAUCAAAGCUCUCAUGAGAUUGAGUGGGCGAUAGAUUUUUAUCUUCUAUAAUCAUUUCAAGUCAGCCAAAUAUGGUAAGCAAUAUACGUAGCUUCAAUUUUGAUGGCUAUUAGGAAAAAAUAGGAAAUGGUUAUGCGCUUCCUCAAAGGUAUUUUCUCACUUGGAAGCUCCCACCCCCAUUACCUAAAGAUCAACUUUGAUGGCAGAAGGAGGCAAUUGUGGUGGUAUGGCAUCUGUGAUUAGAGGCAUGUGUGCUUUUUUUUGUAGAGCAGAAGGAUUUCGUUUUUAUCUAGGGAUGGUGGAGGACUUAGUAGAUUUCGAGGCAACUCAUAUAUUUAAGAAGAUUGAGUGGCCUCGGAUUGAGUGGCCUGACUAGUCAUUCUGUCAACAUAUUAUGGAAAAUUUGUCUAUUGUACCUAGUUAGCUUUGGGACAUUUUGUUCUCAAACUCUUUAGAUUGUAUUUACACUAAGAUGAGACGAGACACUCAGUAUAAUAAUAAUAAUAAUAAUAAUAAUAAUAAUAAUAAUAAUAAUAAUAAUAAUAAUAAUAAUAAUAAUAAUAAUAAUAAUAAUAAUAAUAAUAAUAAUAAUAAUAAUAAUAAUAAUAAUAAUAAUAAUAAUAAUAAUAAUAAUAAUAAUAAUANNNNNNNNNNNNNNNNNNNNUAAUAAUAAUAAUAAUAAUAAUAAUAAUAAUAAUAAUAAUAAUAAUAAUUGCUCGAAAGUUAUUUGAAAGUUUAGCAACUCUCUUUCGCUUGCUAGCAAAGAUUUGAUGCACUGAUUGUUAAAGAAUUAUGUGUAACUUGAUUUUAUUUGAGAUGACGCAUAUCUAGAGUACUACGGAUUGGGUAGUGGCUUAUGUGACCAACUAUACUAAGAUUGUAUUGUAGAAUUUCGAAAAUGAUCUUCUUACUCAUUUUUUGAAUAUCUUAUUUUUUUAAUUCUCAUAAAAGUAUCCAUACAUGCAUGGCAUAGUAUUUCAGAAUUACUAAAAAAAAACCUUGAUGCACCUAACAUCUUGCGACCAGUAUGAAAGAAAAUUUGAGUGAACUCUAAACCAAACGGAAUGAAGCCAGUCACGUUGGACCUGGUUUUGAUCAGAGUAUCCUCGGACUUGGGGAUGCAAAAAUGUAGGUGGAUAAUGUUGCCAGGCGUGAGGAUUUGGCUAGAAUUUAUUUAACUCAAGAUUGGAUCCAAGAACUGAGCUGUGCUUGAAUUCAAGUCCAACAGUUUUCGACAAGAUCAAGCUUUUUUCGGUUCUUUCUGAAUUUUUGUGAUGCCAAAUCCACUUGGAGUCCAGUAGUAUAGAGUUUAUGACUCCAAGGCCCAGAGCCCCGAAUCAGGAAAAGAAAUUCAUAGGGAUAACAUAUCCACAGAUGGAAUAGAAAACCUCGUGGAAAGAGGUAAGCAAAAUUUUUAAUUUAUCUGAAACCAACAGUUCCUUAGGCUUCUUUUUGACCUUUUUGUGCCCUUUUUGCAUAGAUCAAAAACCAUUCUUACUUUUGUUUUGUUCACAUGGAUGAUAUUACAAGCACAAACACAUCCAUCACCAUUGAAACUAAGAUAAAGUACACAUGAUACACACUUUAUAUGAGAGAAGAACGUAUUUGAUGGAUAAUUAUAACUUCACUAAUCAAAAUUAUUUGAAGGAUAUUUGAUAUUCACCACAUUAAUCUCAUCAACUUCUUCCUCUCUUGAUUACUUUAGAGUGAUGAAUAUGGAGGGAUGCGAUAAUAAAGACAAUUAUUUUUUUACAAGAGAUGCAUAUAUAAAAAUAGAUAGUAGAUAUAUACACAAAAAGACCACGUGAGAGACGAUUUUGGAGGCUCAUAUUAAAGAAUACAUAGUAGGGGUGGAUAUAGACUAUGGGACCCAAUCCAUAAAAAUAUGUUUUAAUACUGGAGAUAUUUUUUUGUUGUUACGAAAUUCCUAAAAUAGGCAUAUUAAAAAGAUAAUAGUAUUACUUCAGAAGGAUAUUUUAAAGCUACUGCAUAUUAAACACUCAAUGAAAAUGGACCUAAUCAAUUCCGCCAAGGAAAACCCAAAACUAGAUUUCGACAAAUCCUACUAGAAUUUGACCCACCUUCAGCGUAGGACGCAGCUAUUUAAUUGACUACCAUUCUAUCGAAGAACAAUUUAGUCCAAACAAUCAAUAUGUGAAUAAUUUAUCACCUAUUUAAGAAAAUAUUGAGAGCAAAUCAGAAUCUCAUAUCAAUACAUAUCAUGCUAAUUGUCAAACAUGCUAACCCAACUUGACCCAAUAAAAUGAUAGUGUGAUUAGGUUAAGGUUGAGCCCAAACCGAGUCACACUUUCAGCAGGCAAUUGGCCACGUUCUCGGAUAGGGGUUGCAUCUUCCGCACGAAGGAAUGAUGCACCUUUUUCUUGCACGCAUCUACCGUUGGAUUGCGCAAUGGUGACCUCGAGAUUUGUGCAGUGUAUGACUCAAGGGUAGAGGUGAAAAUGGAUUGGAUCACAUUCGUUCGAAUCUAUUUGUAUAUCCGGAUUUAUCCGGAUAUAAAUAGAAAUUUAAGCAUCUAACUAAUAUCAAAAAUUUUGCCAAAUAUUUCAACUAUCUAAUCCAUAUCCGAAUAUCUGAUUCUAUUUGUAACUUAUUUAAUUUUAUAUGUCACUCAUAAUUUUUUUUAAAAAAUAAAUGACCAUAUUAAUAAACUAUUAACUUAAUUUAUCAUCCACUUAGUAAUAUUUUUAAUUUUAUAGUUAUAAAGUUUAAUUAUCCGAUUUAUAUACGUAUUUGUAUUUAUAUUUUUGAUAUCUGAUUUAUAUCUAUAUCUGUUUAAAAUAAAUAUAGAUAUAAAGUUUUGUUUCCAACUAAUACUCAUAUUUAUAUCUAUAUUUUCAAAUAAAAUAACUAUAAACAAGAAUAUACUAAAAUAUUUAUUCGACCUAAUUUUGAGGUGCUUUGAGAGCUGUGCUGAGCGCCAACCAAGUCGCUAAAGAAGACCGAUCAUUCCUUUGUGCAAAAGAUACAACCCGAACCCGUUCCGACCCGUUCCGAAUUCAUCCGGCUGAAAACCGAAGUAGGGUCCGGUUGUCGGGACUCCGACCCUAGAUUCUCCUCUCCGAUCUUCCCAUCCCUUCUUCUCUGUAGCUCGAUCGCCCGUUCAAUGCUCGCUUACUGUUCGAUCCAAUUCCUCACAGGCCUACCGGGCUCCUCCGUGACCCUCUCUCGCCAACCAAACCUCCUUCCCCUCCGCCCGGCUGCGUGGAAACCCUGUCCACUGACAUCAAAGGAAGUGAAGAUGGAGCUUACUCUGACGAGGCCCGACGAUUGGCACCUCCACCUUCGCGAUGGCGACCUCCUACAAGCCGUCGUGCCUCAUAGGUUCGGCUUUCUAUUUUCUCCUCCUUGAUUUUAUUAAUAGUCUCUGGAGCUGUAAUGCUUAUUCUUCGCCUAAAGAACCAGUUUGUAUUGAGUGCAGUGCCGGCCAUUUUGGAAGGGCAAUUGUGAUGCCCAAUUUGAAGCCUCCCAUCAUUACCACGGCCGCCGCUUUGGCUUACCGAGAAUCUAUACUCAAGGCGUUGCCCCCAAACAGUGGCUUCGAUCCGUUGAUGACUCUCUACCUGACUGAUAACACGAGCCCGGAGGAGAUCAAGCUUGCCAGUGAGUCAAACUAACAAUACCCUUUUUGUAUGAUUUCUGUAUUUGUUUUCGAAAACCCUAGAAGAAAAAUGAACUAGAUUGAACAACAUUUACACCACCAUGAGUGUUCUGUGGAUAAUAUUGCUCUAUCCUUUGCAUGAACUUGAUCCUGCUACAAUUAUAUGUUGACGAUCCUUUGCGUGCCUAGAGUAUGGAGCAGCAUAUUUAAUCUUGGUUAGCAUCUUUGAGAUUUCCCCCGCUUGAAGAAUCAGCAUCUUUGAAUCAAAUCAGUAACCUGGUUUGUAAUGGUGACAUACAGUAAAUUUUGUAAUUAGCAUCUUUUAGUCUUCCUAAUCUUAUCCAACGAGGAUGGAUCGGUUUGUUUUUCUGCUUUCGACUUUGUUAUGCCAUCUUGCUAUGUUAGUUUUUGUAUCAUCUUUUUGACAAUGUUGAUGUCAAUUUUUAGGAAGGAGUGGUGUGGUUUUUGCCGUAAAACUGUACCCUGCUGGAGCAACAACCAAUUCACAAGAUGGCGUUACAGAUGUUUUUGGGAAAUGUUUACCUGUCCUUGAGGAGAUGGUAGAGCAAAGUAUGCCUUUGCUGGUAGGUAAAAUCCAGACAUACAGACACCAAUUCUGGGGGUCAUGCAGAAAGAAUUAAUGCAUGUUGAAAACAUUAAUACAAAAUGUGUAGCUGAAAAACAAGGUUAUUGUAAAUGUGGUUCCAAAGCAUGCUUUUAUCAAUACCGGAACGAAAUGUUUCAGAAUCAAAUAAAAUGGGUUCACGAAUGGUAUAAAAAAAAAUUUAGGAAAAUGAAACAGCUAUACCCUGCUCUAUUUCAGUAUAUGUGAUCCAACUUUGACUGGAACUGUUUGAUAUUACCCCUUUUCAAACAAAGUCAUUUAAUUCAAGCUCAUAAUACUUAACAUAUAAAAUACAUGCAUGUAUUAUCAUUUUGUGCUGCAAUUGAGGACAUAUCAAGAUGGCCCGAUCUAUUUCAAUUUGAGUUGAAAACCACAAGAAAUAUAAUAUGGAAGGUGAUGCUUGGAUAAGUUGCACUUAAAAACUUGAUACUCAUAUUUCAAAAUCUUGCCAAAUAUUUUCUUAAAUCUCAUCAUAUAUAUGUAAAAUCAUUUAUUGCAUGUUUUUUUUUGUUUGGAUAGAUGCUGGAAUUUUAAUUUCCCCUGUUUCUGUUAUUGUUUUGACCAUUUGCAGCAAAAUUCUAGGAAAUCUUAGAUCCAUCUGAAUUCAGUGCAAUUUAUCUAUUAGAGACUUUGUAACAUUUUUGAGAGUAUUGCAAUUUUUAGCAGGGACUAACUUUUACUAAAUUGAGAUGUCACCAAGAGAUGAUGAACUUUAUGUGCUAAAUUCAGAGAUAUGCCUUCAUUUUGAUUUGUGAAUGAGAACCAGGUUGCAUUUGCAGUUUCUAAGCCAUGUACAACAGAACCAAACUUUUAAAAAAUCAUCAAAUUUUGCUCCGAGAGUUUAUAAUUAAAACUUCUGGUUGAUAUGUACUAAUGAAACUUCUGGUUGUAUUAUAAGUGUCAGAUAAAACUUAUUUUUUGAACAACUUGCAUCUUGAAUGAUUAGAGUAUGCAGAAGUUGAAAGACUGAUCUUUUUUUCUUCAUCAUUAGUGCCCCUUGGAAUUAUUAUUGUACCUCAGAGAACUAAUUCCUGCGUUUGUCAUUUCAUAUAUAUCUUUACCUACCAGAAUUGUUUGUUGGGUUUGAUGAAGCUCUGCCAUAAAGGUUUCAUUUAUCCAGUUUCCAAGUGGACAUUUUUAUAUUUCUUAUCUUUAGAGUCCUUACUGCACUUCACAGUCUCUUUCCUUCUGAUCGGUUACUUUGUUACCAUCUGCAGUGUACUAAUGAAACUGCUUUAUCUUUGUGAACUCAUUUUACAGGUUCAUGGGGAAGCUACGGAUCCAAAUGUUGACACAUUUGACCGAGAAAAAGUGUUUAUUGAAACAAUUUUAGAACCACUGGUCCAGAAGCUUCCACGACUCAAAGUUGUAAUGGAACAUAUUACUACUAUGGAUGCAGUCAGGUUUAUUGAAUCAUGCAGUGAAGGUAUCUUUUGUUACAGAAUUUCGUUUUCCAUUCUCUUUGUUUCUUUUGAGGGCUCAGUUUCUUACUAACACAUUGUAAUUCUUUAGGCCAAGUUGCUGCAACUGUGACACCACAGCAUCUUAUUCUCAAUAGAAAUUCUUUGUUUCAAGGUGGAUUGCAGCCUCACAAUUACUGCCUUCCAGUAUUGAAAAGAGAGACUCAUAGUAUGUUCAAUUGUUCCCUUUGCUAAUCCAGUCUUUCUUGUUUCUAAUAUGUAUGCAAGGACUUCAAGAACUUAUUGCUAAGAUCUAAUACAAUGAUUAUUACCAAAAUUUUCUAUUCAUCUCCAAAGUGCAAACGCCCCCAUGCCCCCACCACCACCCCUUCCCCGGCAGGAGAAAAGUAUUUUAAAAAAUAUAAGAGUGAUAUCUAGAAUAUUUUUUUAUGAUCACAAAUCUAUUUUUCUCAACUUGUAUGAAAAGCUUAAAAAAAUACUGUUGCUGUCAUGUGAAUCCCAUGGUCCAAAAUCUGUGUUUUUUUUCUUUUCCAUUUGUGAUGAUAUAGAUUCAGGUUAUAUUAUGAAUAAAUGUGACUAAAAUAAAUAGAUAUUUUAAAUAGGUAUGGGAGUCUGAAAUUCGACAUUAUUUUAUCGUGCUUUCAUCUAAAUGUGUGUGAUUACUGCUAAUGUAAACAUUAUUGAACUUUUGCAAUGAAGAAAUGCAAGAAUAAAACAAUUUAUGUUAUUAUAUUUCUCUGGUAAUUUCAAGGAAAUUAACUUAUCUUUCCUACCUUGUUCAAUAUUUUCAAAAAUUUCAGUUUAAUGCUUACAUAUUAUAAAUUGUUUUUGUAGGACAAGCUAUAGUGUCAGCUGUUACAAGUGGAAGCAUACGAUAUUUUCUGGGGACCGACAGUGCUCCCCAUGAGAGACGAAGAAAAGAAUGUCCCUGUGGAUGUGCAGGCAUAUACAAUGCUCCUGUUGCACUGGCACUUUAUGCCAAAGUAUUUGAAGAGGUAUCAAAACUUUUUGUUUGAUGAAACUCUGAAAUACAUUCUCAUUUGGUGGCAUAUGGCUCAAGCAUGGUCAAAAUGCUAUUAGAGACAACUAGACAUUGGAAGCCUUGCCAUCUUUCUGGUCUCAGAUUUGUGAGUUAUUGUUUCACUGAUGAUUCAUGUUUAGAAAGCUCCUGUAAUCCUGCAGAGUUCAACAAUAUGGACCUUUUAAUGCCUUACAAAGCCAUUUAUAAACAAGUCUUCUCUUCAUCUACCUAGUUUGGAUUCUUUACAACUUUUAUUUAUUUUCUCAUCCUGAUAUGCAUAGUAUUAAAGAUAAUGAAGAUAAUUACUAUGCAGUCUCUAGUUCUUUUUAGUGUGUAGAUACAUGAAAGGUUGAAUAGUUUUACUGAUGUUGAUGGCAUAGCUUGGCAACUGUGCUGUUGAUGAUAAAGAUAUCAGCAGAAUCGAUACAAUUUUCUUAGUUUUGUCUUGCAAAGUUAAUCUUACAAAAUCUGUUUGAUGAACAUUUUUUUGGGUGUUAUUUUGAUUAGGCUGGUGCACUUGACAAACUAGAGGCAUUUACAAGCUUCAAUGGCCCAGACUUCUAUGGUCUUCCAAGAAACGCAUCUAAGAUUGUAUUGCGGCAGAGUGCGUGGAGAGUGCCAGAAUCCUAUACAUACGCAUCCGGUGAAAUAGUACCUAUGUUUGCAGGACAGACUCUUGAAUGGCUUCCCUCGAACACCUGAAGGCAGGGACAUGGCUUUUGUUUUGUUUGAGAGGAAAUUGGAAGCCGGAACAUGUUGUAGGUUUUUGUUAUUAUUUUUAUUGCAGCAGAUCAAUUGUGGGAGACAGAAUUCUGAUUGAGCGCCUGAGUUCACUUCAUUUUUGAAGUAGAUGAUUUUUAUGAGUUAGAUUAUUUAAUUUUUUUACCUAAGUAAUUAAGCUUUCAUAUUUUCUCCUCCUCCUCCUCCUGCUCUAGACCACCAUUAGUCACCAAAUUAUUCAAAUAUGGAGGAGGAGAAGGAUGUACAAUAAGAGAAUUUACAACGAAUAAGUGAAGGAGCAAAUAAAGAAAAUUACAAGGUUAAAGGAAGAGGAAACUGCUGCUUCCAUGCGGUUCCAUAAACAUAUUUUCAUAGUUUAAAGGCAAAGAAGACUUAAAAGAACGGUAUCUUAGUGCAUCAGCAAGCAGCAGGAAGGAUCCCAUGGAUGCUCAUAAAGCUGCCGAAAUCUCCAUCAUAGUCUCCAAUUAUUUUUCUUUCUUUUCUUUCAAUAAUUAAGGUCAGCAAUUAUUUUUCUAUUUGUUGGUCCAAUUAGCUAGCUGUGUCCAAUCAUCAAUAUUGGCUAGAGAAAAAUUUUGUUUCAUACUAGAUGUUGACAUGUGCAAUAUAUAUGAGAGAGACGAAGAUGGCAAAAGAGAGAGUUGAUUGACAUGGGAUGGAUGGCUCUGAUUAGAAAGAGAAGAGAGCCAACUGAGAUGGAGCAAAUCAGUAUGAUUAAAGGGAGGAGAAACAAUAAACUGAAAUAAGAUUUGUGAUCCCAAAUUCCGAAGUUUAAUUCAAAUUUUAGUAGAGAAGAGAAAGGAAUAGAUUGAAUUUCCUUUUAUAUAUAAAAAAAAUCUAUAUAGUUUUAAAUGUAUUUUUUUCUUUUCUUCGAAGAAGAAUGGGUUGUUUCCUUUUUAUAAUAUUUUUCUUCCUUUUAUUGUGGUAUCAACAAGUGAGGAAGGCUUCAAGAGUUAUAGAUGGGGCGCUUUUGUUUUUCUUUUCUUUUUUUUAAUGGAAUUGAGGUGAGAAGGUGCUGCAAACUUGAUUUCCAAACCUUUUCUGUUGUAUGUAGAUGAUAUAUAUGUAUCGCUCUCAUUUUUGUACCACUAACAUGAUAGGAUAUGGUUGCUAUCCGACAAGUUCAUAUAGUUUACACAGUUUCCCAAACUUGCUUACUUCAUCGGCCUGCAUGCCGUAAUGGUGCUAUUGAGAAGCUCCAAAUUACCAAGAGGCUAACCAUGAAAUUUAUUGAAAUCUAAUCCCAACACCAACAGCAUGUAGCCAAAGCUUACAGAAAGUAAAUGACAUCCAAACUUUUACAACAACCAGCUAAGGCGCCAGCUUUAUUUUCCCAACCAGGACACCUGCUAAAUCAUCAAAAGGAAAGCAAUAAUUGUCACGCCCCGAACCCGAACCUAGGCCCGGGACGCGCCAGACGCCGCACACCCGCACGGCGGACCGCACGGGCGUGCAAGGCUGAAUAAUCAGACACUCAAGUCACAACAUCAGAUCACAAUAUCAAUACUAAAAAUCUAUCAUUUAUGAUAAUCAAAUCAAUAAUUCAAUUUCAAAUGUCUCAAAUAAAGUUGAUAACAUUUAUUUACAAGAUCAAUUACUUAUGACAAAAAGAAUCUAAAUCUAUCUAUGUCCAUUGUCAUAAGUCCUCUCCUCCCGAAUCCCCCAUCAAUCAUCUCCUGCAAUUAUGUCAAAAACAGGUAUGAGCUACAACAGNNNNNNNNNNNNNNNNNNNNNNNNNNNNNNNNNNNNNNNNNNNNNNNNNNNNNNNNNNNNNNNNNNNNNNNNNNNNNNNNNNNNNNNNNNNNNNNNNNNNNNNNNNNNNNNNNNNNNNNNNNNNNNNNNNNNNNCGUCUCCGAGAACACGCUGGGACAAUCUGUUUGACGGCCACUUCACACUUCUAUCGACCAGCUACACAUGCAAGGCUUGUGAAAGGCUAAAGAGGCAAAUGAUAUGCAGGUGCAAUGCUACUAGAUGCUGUGCUUUUGCGAGAGUUAAUGCUAUACAUACAGUAGGAGAAAUGCAUGGGAUUCGCUAGCAUAGAUGACAGGGUUAUAUGGGCUGCAUACCAGUAGACUCGCAGAGUUUCCAGCCUGGGAUGGCCAAUAUGUGCUAAUAUAUAUUAUAGAGCUCUUGUAACAGGUUUUUAGCUAGACAGCAACAUCAAGAGAAGGUGGUGGAACAAACCGGGAAGAGGCGAAGCAUCCUUGGGCUUAAGAUAGCCCGGGAGCUUGCACCUACAGUAGACAACACCUUCAACCGAGACGUCGUGCGUCGGCUUUGGGGGCUUGCGUGCCGGCGAUGGUGGCGGCAAUGGUGGCGGCGAGGGUGGCAGUAAUUUUCCCACAGGACCACACUUGGCAGGAGAAGGAAGAGAGCCCAGAAAAAGCACCAGAAACUGAAGCCCAAAUAGGAGUCCCCUCAACCAAGCCAUCUUCCCAGUACGAGUUCCUAAGCUCAGCUCCCAAGCCCUAAUGACCAACAUUGGAGCCACAAAGCGAGGAUUUAUAGCAGUCAGUUCUAGGUUCUCAGCCGCUCGAGUCGAUAAAAUUAAAGCCGCGUCAUAGAGUGCUCUGAAUUUAUUUAUUGUAGUAAAAGUAGGGGUUUGGGCUUAGGGUUGGAGCAUUUAAUUCACGAGAGGGUGAUCCAGAGAGAGGGAUGUGUAUCGGCCAGUUGGUGCCGGGCUGGCCAUUAACGGAAUAAGUUGGAGCCCGCCGCGCUGGACACGGAGUAGGGUGCGAGACGCGAGACUUUCCGAUCGCGAGGUGGUGAUCGGGCCGGUGCGACGUGGCCCGGUGCAACCAGGCUCGGUUGCGGGCCUUGCGGCAACCGGCCAUGUGCUUGCCUUGAGGCCUCUUCUUCUUUAUUUUUAUUUUUAGGUUAUAAAAUAAGCUAGUUUAUCCGACAAAAAGCAUGAGCACCCGGUGCAACAAGGAUAUAACAAGUUGGCUUAGUAAAUUAGACCAAGACUCGGAUACCUAGGGGCCAUCCAUUAUAUGUGUUAAUUAUGUAUAACAUAGGAAUUAACAUCUGCCAUGGUAAUUCUGCUUAGAUCCUGUUACCUUCCAUGGUAAUUUUGCUUAGUCCCGUCCCAGUAUGGCUCUUGGAUUUUCACAUUGAGAUCCAUGCUACAGGAGAGAAUCUUCUUUUGGUGCAUGCACAGAAAAUUUUUGCCCUGCAACCACUCAUUUGCAAUUCGGCACAUUAAACAACUUAGUUUCCUGAAUGAAUGCCGAAAUAAUAUAUCGAGAACCCUGAACAUGUCAUUGUAAAGCUUAUAUGCCAGAAAAACGUUGGAGUUUUAAUUAUUAACAGCAAAAUUUAAAUUUUUCUUAUCCCCUAAUCUUUAGUUGUUUUAAAUGUUGUAAAAAACUCUUUCGUAAGACGCUUCUUUCAGAAGAAUUAUGACUCUUUGAAAGAGAACGUUGACUUUCUAAAAAAUAUGGUGUUUCUUAAACAUUAUGUAUCUUCGGAAUCAUCAUAUUCAGAGUCUAUAAAUAGACUUCUCCGGGAUUAAUCGUAAUCCAAUCCAAUCUCUCUCAUUGGCAUUCUGUCUUCCGAGAGUUUCUUCACCGAUAGAGUUCUUUUAAUUUUCAACUUUCUGCUUUCUAUUUUUUCUUUUUUUUUGGAACAACUGAACGAGUCGGUCGGAUCAAGCCUCUCUAGCGGUCGUGCUCGUUAGAAAAAGAUCGGGUUGAGCCAGGUUGUUGUACUUUGGAGAUGAGAUCGCUGCAAAUCCGCACGUAGGGGGCAAAUCACGUUCUUAAGACACUGUAUAUCACACGUCUCAAUUCAAGCAAACUCUUUUCAAUCUUCAGAAUUUCUUUUAGUAAAUUAUUCUCUUAUAAAAUAAUGGUAUAGCAAUUUCUAGGCAAUAGUUUUUCAAAAUGUGAACUUGAUUGUACUAGAAAUUGAUAUAUAUAUAUAUAUAUAUAUGUGUGUGUGUGUGUGUGUGUGUGUGUUUGUCAAAAUUUAAUUUGAUCAUAGAAUUAGAUUUAGUUUAAUUGUAUAGAAAUUUAAAAGCAUUAACUUUAGUCACAAGGUUGUUUUCUUCAUAAAAAAAUAAUCUUUUAAAAAAGUUAUAUUGCUUUGAAAAUUGUGCAAAUAGAUUUCUGCAACUUUAAAAACUGUACAAAAAAUUUUCUACAUAUUUAAAAUUUUUGCAGAAUUUUUUGCAUCUUUGAAAAUAGUAAAAAAAAUUCUGCAGAUUAAAAUUUGUGUAGAAAAUUGCUACAGCUUUAAAAUCUGUGCAGAUUUUCUAAAGCAUUAACUUCUGUGCAAUCUAUUUUUCUAAUAUUUAAUUUUCGUGCAAAAUUUUUUGAAUUUGUAAAAUUUGUGCAGAAAACUCUUACACUUGUAAAAGUUGUGCAGAAAAAAGCUACUGCGGCUGAGAGAUACUUCAAGCGUUAUUUCUACUAUAAUUUUUAAAUAUGCUUCCUCUGUUAUUUCUAUUGUAAGAGAAAGAUCAUAUAAAUUGGGCACAUGCUUUCUAUUGUAAUUUGUAAAAAAAAAAAAUCAAUAAAUGGGGCAUCUAUUGUUCUUCUUGUGUUAUUUUUUUCUAAUUUUAUUUCUUUUUUUGUUAUCUAUCUUAUGCUAUUAGAAGAAGCAGAAUUUAUUGGAUAACGGAAAUUGAACUUUUUUAAAAAAAUAAGUUAGUUUUUUUUGGCCCCAAAAAAAUUAAUUAGGCUUUUUAAAUUUUUUUUAAAAAAAUAACUCUGAAUAAGCAUUGUCGAUGUUUUAAAGCUUCCGUUAUUACCGAUGCCUUUCAAAAGCGUUGGUAAAAAAAUUUUUCACUCUUACAUAGCGUUGGCACUAAAAUUAUAAGCAUCGGCAUAAGCUUUAAAAAGUGCCGAAAAAUAUAAUUUUUUUUUAGUGUAAAGAAUGUCCCUGUGGAUGUGCAGGCAUAUACAAUGCUCCUGUUGCACUGUCACUUUAUGCCAAAGUAUUUGAAGAGGUAUCAAAACUUUUUGUUUGAUGAAACUCUGAAAUACAUUCUCAUUUGGUGGCAUCUGGCUCAAGCAUGGUCAAAAUGCUAUUACAGACAACUAGACAUUGGAAGCCUUGCCAUCUUUCUGGUCUCAGAUUUGUGAGUUAUUGUUUCACUGAUGAUUCAUGUUUAGAAAGCUCCUGUAAUCCAGCAUAGUUCAACAUUAUGGACCUUUUGCUAACCUGGAAAGCCAUUUAUAAACAAGUCUCCUCUUCAUCUACCUAGUUUGGAUCCUUUACAACUUUUAUUUAUUUUCUCAUCCUCAUAUGCAUAAUAUUAAAGAUAAUGAAGAUAAUUACUAUGCAGUCUCUAGUUCUUUUUAGUGCAUAGAUAGAUGAAAGGUUGAAUAAUUUGUCUGAUAUUGAUUGCAUAGCUUGGCAACUGUGCUGUUGAUGAUAAGGAUUAUCAGCAGAAUCGAUACAAUUUUCUUAGACAUUUUUGUCUUGCAAAGUUAAUCUUACAAAAUCUGUUUAAUAAAGUUUUUUUUUGGUGUUAUUUUGAUUAGGCUGGUGCACUUGACAAACUAGAGGCAUUUACAAGCUUCAAUGGCCCAGAUUUCUAUGGUCUUCCAAGAAAGACAUCAAAGAUUGUAUUGCGGCAGAGUGCAUGGAGAGUGCCAGAAUCCUAUACAUACGCAUCCGGUGAAAUAGUACCUAUGUUUGCAGGACAGACUCUUGAAUGGCUUCCCUCGAACAGCUGAAGGCAGGGACAUGGCUUUUGUUUUGUUUGAGAGGAAAUUGGAAGCCGGAACAUGUUGUAGGUUUUUGUUAUUAUUUUAUUGCAGCUGAUCAAUUGCGGGAGACAGAAUUCGAUUGAAGGCCUGAGUUCCCUCAUAUUUGAUGUAGAUGAUUUUUAUGUGUUCAAUUAUUUUAUUUUUUUGCUAAGUAAGCCUUCAUAUUUUCUCCUUCUUCUCCUUCUUCUUCUUCUUCUUUUUGAAGAUGGAGGAAACCACCAUCAGUCAGCAACUUUAUUCAAAAAUGGAGGAGGAGAAGGAUGUGCAAUAAGAUAAUUAAUUUCCAUCGAAUAAGUGGAGCAAAUAAAGAAAAUUACAAGCAUAAAGGAAGAAGAAACUGCUGCUUCGAUGCGGUUCCAUAAACAUAUUUUCAUAGUUUAAAGGGAAAGAAGACUUAGAAGAACAGUAUCUUAGUGCAUCAGCAAGCAGCAAGAAGGAUCCCAUAGAUGCUCAUAAAGCAGCUGAAAUCUCCAUCACAGUCUCCAAUUAUUUUUCUAUCUUUUCUUUCAAUAAUUAAGGUCACCAAUUAUUUUCUAUUUGUUGGUCCAAUUAGCUGGAACCAAUUAGCUGGCUAUGUCCAAUCAUCAAUAUUGGCUAGAGGAAAAUUUAUGUUUCAUAUUAGAUGUUGACAUGUGCAAUAUAUAUGAGAGAGACGAAGAUGGCAAAAGAGAGAGUUGAUUGACAUGGGAUGGGUGGCUCUGAUUAGAAAGAGAAGAGAUCGAGCCAACUGAGAUGGAGCAAAUCAGUAUGAUUAAAGGGAGGAGAAACAAUAAGCUGGAAUACGAUUUGUAUGUGUCGCUCUCAUAUUUGUACCACUAACAUGAUAGGAUAUGGUUGCUACCCGACAAGUGGAACUGUGAAAGGUUAAACUAACCAUGCAUGAAAUUUAUGGAAAUCUAAUCCCAACACUAACAACAUGUUGCAAAAGCUAACAGAAAGUUAAUGAAAUCCAAACUUUUGUUCCUACAACAACCAGCUUUUCAGGCGCCAGCUUUAUUUUCCCAACCAGGGCACUUGCUAAAUCAUCAACAGGAAAGCAAUAAUAUUAAACACUCUUUCAAGUGUGACACAUCUUAGAGCUAGCCGGGCCGAGCUCCAAGAAGCCUGCAGAGAAGAGUGCCACGUAGCCGGACCCGGCCACCAAGUUCCUCUCAUAGUAUACAGAAGCUCCCUUCCCUUUGGGUCCAAGGAAUUCCGGCACGAUGCACGCCGGCAAUGGCGUCGACACCACGUAGACCUUGCACCACUUGGCCACAUAUCUCUUCAUCAGUUUUUCGUCGAGUAAAGGAAAUUUAGCAUCGAGCAAGAAGUAGCCUCUGGUAUCCGUCUUCCCGCUCACAGAUAGCUUGCCACAUUUUAAGUUCACCGGUGCACCUGCAACAACGAAGAGAUGAUGAUUGUUUAAGAUUAGGAAAAAAGAAUACUGUGGCCUCAUGAGGCCAUUUAUAGGGUGUAAGCAGCGUGCAUUAAGCGAGCAGUCGACGUAGGAGGGACACCUUGUUCCUGCGAGGUCUAAGCUCAAAUGCAUGGCUUUUGUUUGUUUUGGAGAUCAAUAGCAAUGGGACUGGCAUCUUUCUAAAACAAUCUCUCCGAGAACACGCUGAGACAAUGUUCUGUUUGACGGCCACUUCGCACUUUUAUCGACCAGCUAUACGUGCAAGGCUUGUGAAAGGCUAAAGAUGCAAAUGAUAUGCAGGUGCAAUGCCUUUAGAUGCUGUGCUUUUUGCAAGAGUUAAUUUUAUACAGUAGGACAAAUGCAUGGGAUUAAUUCGCUAGCACAGAUGAUAGGGUUAUAUGGGCUGUGUACCAGUAGACUCGCACAGUUUCCAGCCAGGGAUAUAGGGCCGGCCAAUAUGUACUAAUAUAUUAUAGAGCUUUUAUAACAGGUUUUUCGACAGCAACAUGAAGAGAAGGUGGCGGAACAAACCGGGAAGAGGCGAAGCAUCCUUGGGCUUAAGAUAGCCCGGGAGCUUGCAUCUACAGUAGACAACGCCUUCAACCGAGACGUUGUACGUCGGCUUUAGGGGCUUGGGUGCCGGCGAUGGUGACGGCGAGGGUGGAAAUAAUUUUCCCACAGGACCACACUUGGCAGGAGAAGGAAGACACCACAGAAAAAGCACCAGAAACUGAAGCCCAAACAGGAUUCCCCUCAACCAAGCCAUCUUCCCGGCACCAGUUCCAAGCCCUAAUGACCAAAAUUGGAGCCACCAGAGAGAGCAUUUAUAGCAGCCACUUGCUAGAUUCUCGGCUGUUCGGGUCGGUCAAAUUAAAGCGACCUCAUGGAGUGCUGUGAAUUUAUUUAUUGUAGUAAAAAUAUUGGGGUUUGGGCUUAGGAUUGAAGCAUUUAAUUCACGAGACGGUGAUGUGAUCGGCCAGUCGGUGCCCGGCUGGCCAUGCGCGGAAAUUUGGGAGCGAAUCAAAGCGUUUGGUUUUUUUAACGGAACAAGUUGGAGCCCGCCGUGCUGGACACGGAGUAGCGUGUGAGACGCGAGGCUUUCCGAUCGCGUGGUGGAAAUCGGGCCGGUGCGACGUGGCCCGAUUGCCAUACUUGUACUUGUUAAUCAUAUCGAACCCAACACUCAACCGGCCAUGUCCUUGCCUUCAGGCUUGAGCCCUUUUUCUAUUUUUAUUUUAGAUUUUUUUAUAUUAAUAUUCUUUAAAACAAUUUUAAAUUUGCAUGAAUAUUUUUUAAAAUUUAUAUUUAUUUCUGUACCCUUAUAAAAUACUAUUUUCGCACAAAUACGAUUCUUCUAACACCGUUAAUUAAAAUUUAUUUUAAUUAAAAUAAAAUAAAAUUUUAAAAUUAUUUUUUAUUUUCCAUCAUAGUCGUCUUAUAAAUAUUUUUUUGCACAUCUAUCCAUUAAGAAUAUUUUAGUUAUUUUAAUUUGAAUCUAUUAAUUUUUUAACUGUAUUAGAUGACGUGGCUACAUAUGCAAAAAUAAGGUUAAAAAGGGUAGAAUAGUAAAACAAGUGUUUUACGAGGGUAGUAUACAUUUAAAUAUCAAUUUUGGGAGAGUAUUAAUACAAAUUUCGAUAUUUAGGAGGAUAUUCAUAAAAAAAUUAUUUUUAAAUUAUAAAAUAAGUUUGUUUAUCCUAUAAAAAGCAGGAGCAGCCGGUGCACCAAGGAUAUAACAACUUGGCUUAGUAACUUAGACCAAGACUCGGAUACCUAGGGGCCAUCCAUUAUAUGUGUUAAUUAAGUAUAACAUAAGAGUAAGCAUCUGCCAUGAUAAUUCGGCUUAGAUCGUGUUACCUUCGAUGGUAAUUUUGCUCAGUUUCAUCCCAGUAUGGCUCUUGGAUUUUCACAUUGAAAUCUAUGCUACAUGCGAUGAUCUUUUUUGGUGCAUGCACUAGAGAAUUUUUACCCUACAAUUCGGCGCAUUAAAUCAUCUAUUUUUCUGAAUGAAUGCCAAAAUAAUAUAUCCAGAACAUAUCAUUGCAAAGCUUAUAUUGCCAGGAAAAGAGGUCGUUCACUUCUUCUAUAGUUGUACAAGUACAUCAAUUUUGAUUAUUUGUUGCAGAUUGGGGAGAUCACGACGACUAGAGAAGGAAAAUAUGCAGUUGAGUUGAAUUGGUACUUAUAGAGGCGUCAAAUUUGAUGAAUGUCACUUUGUUUAUGACAAGGAAGCAGUUGGUUGCUCAAGGAAGAUCCGUAGAAACAGAACUAUGGCUUAUGAUUACUUAAUUGUGAUUUUUUCUCCUCCCACUGAUAGACUUGUGCACGUUAAAAGCCGGAUGGCCUUCGAUUUGGACAUGAGUGAAUAUUUCUAAGGAACAGCAGUUUGUUUCUGUUGACUAAUCUUAAUGAGUUCAUUCAGAUAGACCGUGGAGUCUGUGACCAAUACAUAAUGGGCUACAAGCUAACUCUGUUCAUGAGAAUCUCUGCAGCUAUAAAGCAGCCAUCAAUGCAAAUGUAGAUAUACCCACUUCUCAAAUCUUGCAUUUUCGAUCUUAUGGCUUCCUAUUUGCUCAUGAAGCAGUUUGCCUUCGAUCAUUUUUUGUUCCAUGGGCCAUCAGGGAUUCACAUGACGAACUUUUGUCCUUCUUAAACCUUUCUUCUUGUGAUCAAAAGACUAGGACCAUUUCCGUGCUGUGAAAUGAUGCAAGUCUCAUCUCUCUGAAGACUCUAACUUGGAUUAUAAGGCAAACAUGGUGAUGGUUGGAAAAGGCAUCACUCUUUGCUUCUUAUUUCUAACUAGGUGCAACUUCUUUUUGGUCAUAAAGCCAUGUAGCUCACUGUGUUGCGUAUUAAAGCAUCUAAUGUGGGCAAACUAAAGCAUCCAAUGAUCGAGUGGAAAUUGGCUGGAAAGUGGAAGUCGGCAUCACAAGCAAAGGUUGACCAUUUGUCAAGUAGAGGAGAUAAGGAGAGGAUUCGGACCAGAGAAUAAUUAAAAAAUGAGGGGGCAUGUGGAGUAAAGUCUCCAUUCUAUUUUUUUGGUCACCUUUAUUUCUUUCUGGUUGUGUAAAGGGAAUUGUUAUUAUAACAUGGGAGUGAAGAUUAGUUGUUCUUGUGUUGAUGUGCUAUCCAAGUAAUUAGUAAUUCAUUAUAAUAUGAAUUGUUGUUUAAAAAUUAUUUGAAUAUAUACGGUAUCAUCUUUCAACAAAUACAUCAUUUAAAAUUAUUUGAGGGAAUAAUAUGAUGGAUGAUGAGUUUUAAACUUCAACAAUUGGCCAUGCCAAAUUCUUUGUAUGGAACGGUCUGAACAUCAUCUUAUCAUGUCAGUAAAAGGGUGUGAGUUUAAAAGUUGGUAACAUAUUAUCACAUUUAGUGAUUUUUGUAUGCUGGACCCUGCAUAAUGAAAUGAGAAAAAUUAGCAAGAUGAAACAUAGCCCAUAACCUUCUUUUGAUCAAAGGUUUCAUUAAGACCAUAACUCCUAGUAUUUUAAGCCCUUUCUAGACUGGCAUCUACCAUUAUAAUGGAAACAAUGGUUGUUAUUGGCCAUUUUGAAAUAAGCUAAUUUUAAGUUAUAUUAUAUGUAUUUUUAAAUAAAAAAUAUCAUUGAUCUAUUAAAUUAUAUUUUCUUCUAUAAUAUUAAUAUUCGAAUAUAAUAUCAACACUUUAUAUAUGAUAUGUUAUAAUAGUAUAUUUUACAUAAUUAAUAUUUAUAUUUUAAUAUAAUAUCAAAUAUUAUAUGUGAUAUUAUAAAUUAUAAAGUAAUAUUUUGUAUUAUAAUAUUAAUGUUAAAUAUUAAUAUGCUGAUAUCUUUUUUGAUAGUAUUGCAAUAAAUAUUAUAUAUUUGAUAUAAUAGAUAAUAAUAUUAUAAAAUAUUCUUAUAUAUAUUAAUUUCAAAAAUAUAUUUUAAAAGCAUGAAAUAGGCAUAAACAAUGGGCACAAGCAUAUUACAAAAUGGUUUAUAUCUGAAAAAUAGGCUGCAUAGCCUAUUUCAAAUCUAUGCCCAUUUCAUAAAUAAUGUUCGCUUAUUGCAAAUGGACAUGAAGUAGUUUAUAAUCACAUACAUUCUAUAAAUAAUAGUUUGCUGAAAUAAAAUUUCAGGAUUUAUGCUGUAACCAAACAUCAUUUAAAAGUUUAUGUAAGUGGGCACAGUGGAAGGGCAUUGAGGGUGUUAAAGGCGCCGCCCCUCUUUAUUUACUUUCGGUUGGACGCCUUGGCGAGGGGCGAGGCCUCGGGGGCACCUGCCCUGCCCUCUCAAAUGGGAGAUGUCAAAGAUCGCGCUCGCUCACACACCUUGCAUGGGAAAGGAGGGCCCCACUACCAAGUUGCUCUCUGGUCCCUAUCGAACAAAGUGGACAAAUUACUGUGUCAGGCCAAUCGAAUUGACCUCUUCAAAUACGGACUAGAAAUUUGAUUGCAAGUAGGGCUGUUCAUUUUUUUACUUUCUGGCCAUUGGCGAUGGGAUGGGAUGGGCUGGCUACAAGAUAAAUAGACCUUAGAAAUGUGUAGGGGAAAUUGGGCAAGGGGUCAAUGAUCCUGACGUGAAAGACUGGGUCGAAGUUUUCUCUUUGUUUUCUUGCAACGCAAAGACUUGGUUGUGGUCCGCUCCACAUCAAUUUCUUAAAUUCCUGGUCCAAGGGGCCUCCUUCCGUAACCUGCCCGGCCAAUGACCAAUUCGUGGCUCUAGCCAUGUCUCGCCGCUUGCAUCAUUUGCACGAAAAAAUGAUUGAUUUUUUUUUUUCCACAGCAUUAAUCAUUAGAUCGUAUCUUGUAUAGAUCUUAAAAUGUUUCAAAAUUUUUCAUUCAUACAUCUGUAUAAAUUUUAAAACGAAUUAUUGCAUGAUUCGAUGUUGAUUUAUAAAAAUAGUUGAAUCCUUCUUUCACGCAAAAGAUGCAAUCUUAGUCUUGCAGAGGAUUGACGUGGCGAGCCAAUUGAGAAUUUACAAGAGUCUAUCAAAAUAGUCAUUAGACUUUUAUAAACUUUUUUCAUGAUGAGUUUCCUACUAAUUAAUUGCUAACUAGUUCGUAUCUCUCUGCUCAGAAAAAAUCUAAGAUUCAGAUAAUGAUAUGGCCGUCGUAUUUCUCGAUGAAAAAUAAAAAUCCUGUGUAGAACUUGCAUAUAUUAGGGUUAGAAUUUGCAUAAAUGGGUUCCAUUAACCAAAAAUAAAUAAAAGAAGAAGAAAAAAAAAAGAGCGAAAACCUACUUUAACAAUCAUCAAUUAUUGAUUAGUGGGAUCCGUCUGAAAAUAAUAGAUAAUUCAAGUUUAUAGGACUAAAUAGAAAUAAAAAUUUGGAAAGGAUCCAGCUACCCUUUCAUGUUGGACCUCCUUGUUAAUGACUAGAUGGACAGCUAUGAGAUGCUUAUAUACGAUUGCGUAGCAAACAAACUAGUCCUGCGUCUCAAUCCCACAUCAAGACGUCUUGUAAAUAGAAAUCACAUGAAAUAUGUUAAAGGGAGCCUGAAGUCAGAGCAACAAGGUACAGGAGCCAUGCGAUUCCUGCUGACAUGACAUCUAGGGAUCGGUCCAAUUAAGUGCAAAUUUAUUAGGCUCAUUUCAGGCAAACCAAUCCAACCCUCAACCAGCUCAGUCCGGUCUUUUGACUGCAGUGGAGUACUCAAAUGGUUUGAUUUCUCGCAUGGAUGGAUGGUCCCACCAAACUCGAACCAGAAAGACCUUUCCCAAAUGCUAAAAGGAAGCCAAGCCAAGUGCUUGCCAUCCUCAUAAGGGGGACAUGAUGGGCUCCGAGCACGAGCCAAGUGCUUGCCAUCCUCAGCUAUUCUCCUGCCAUUACCACACACUUCACCAAGUUGACCGAGCUAUGACGCCACCUCUAAAAUUUCCACACGCAGAAGAGCAGCAUUCUCAAGCCAUUUCCAAGUUUUAGAAAAUUCUUUUACUGCCGCAUGGAACGAAUUGAAGAAAAUUUCUCCCUGUGCUUCCCUAGCCCUGCUCCUCUGCACUGGGCUCCAGAGGACGUACCCAGCCCAAAGAAAGCCUGUGCCCUACCUGGCUCGUCCCAUUUUCUCACAUAGGAGGGGAAGGAAAGAGACGGAACGAUACAAGAUUCCUUUGGCACUCCUUCCAAUCAGCUCCUGACAGGCACCAACUGGCCUUCUUCUAUCACUUUAUAAGUUAAUAAAGCUAGUGUCUUCCUCUAAUGAUGUUCUUCAGAGAAAGGUUAGGGAGGAGCAAUGCCUAAAUUUUUCUCCAUCCACAGAGCUGCCCGUAUAAAACCAGCUCUCAGGUUGGCAAAGAUAGAAUAUUUAACGGUUGCUAAUCAAUAAGAUCUCUUUUUUUUUUCUCUUCUCUUCUCUCUGAAAAAUAUGGUGAAGCUACCCAAAGAAAUUAGUAAAUUAGCGCGCAUGAACAUGGAAGAACGCUUGGAGGAAUAAGAAAGUAAAUUUUCUCAUCGAGUCCAUAGGUAAACAAAAUCUUAUAACCAGAUUGAAAGAUACAAGAGAUAGAGGGAGAGGAGAAAAGGGGAAAAAAACACCACCUUUUGCCCUUCCGGAUACCAUUCAUUUCAUAUUGGCGGGUUGGUCUGUAUGUAUCACAGAGAGAAUACCGGAGGAGCGAAUCAGAGAGAGGAAGAAAGGUAACUCAAAUUGGAUACAAUGGAAGCAGAGGCCUCCCCUAGCCAGCGCCAUCUCUCUCCGAGGAAAAGAAGAAGAAGAAGAAGAGAUAAAAUCCGAAUUGGACGAAGUAGUCAUAAUAUUUUCGAUAAGGAUGCAGCAAUCUCAAGCAGAGGAAGCUGAGGCGGAGGAGAUUCGCGGCGACGUCACAGGGAAGAGCGGCAGCAGCCGGGGUGGCUCGGCGUCCCUCGGCGUGUUCCUCGGCGACGGGUGCAAGUAGAACCCCUUCUCAGCGAUCGCCCGCUCCUCGGCCGACAUCGCCGGCGACAGCGACGAGUCCGUCUGCGGCGACCGGUUGAAGGGAUCCGGGAUCAGCGGCGUGACCGGGCUGAGGACCAGGGCCGAGUGAAGAUCCAGCAUGCUCGGCGAGAGGAUCUCCGGCUGCUUCCUGGGGGAGAAGGCGCCGCCGGCCGGGGAAGCGGGGGCGGAACUGAGGAAGGUGGGGAUGAGCGGGCUGAUCAUUUUGAGAUUCUUGAGGCUGCUGCGGCGUUCGUAGAGCUUGAAGACCGGUUUCUUGGGGCCGGUGGCCUUGGCGGCGGGCGGGAUCGGGUUCUUGGGUGGCGGGGGGUUAGCGGCGGCGUGCUUGGCGGCGGUCUCGGCGGAGCCGGUGAGCAUCUGUACGACCUGCUUGAAAGAGGAGGUGUCGGCCUGGAUAAAGGUGGUGGGGUAGGGGUUGGAUUCGAUGGAUCUCGGAAUGGAUUUCGGCGUUGGAGGCUGUAGAUUUGGAGGCGAUGCAACCUGUACUGCCGCAAUUGUCGCUCCACCUGCGGCCGCUACUCCUUUGCUGCUGGUGCUGGUGCUGCUGCUGCUGGCGGUAGAAUUUGGGGAGGUGGGGUGGGAUGAUAGCUGCUCUCUUUCCUGGGGAUUUUGGUUGUGGUUUUCCAUUGAUCCUAGUGUUACAAAUUGGGGGAAAACAAAAAAAGAAAGAAAGGUAGAGAGGAGGAGGAUGGAGUUGGGGUUGUGUUGAUACUGGGGAGAAAUAAAGAGAAGAGAGAGAGGAGUUAGAGCUGCAUAGUUUGUGUGUGGAAGAAGGGUUAAUGAGAUGAAAAGAAUUGGUAUCUCUCCUCUCUUUUAUUUCUCUCUCCUGGUGGUGUUGGGAUCUGUUUGGUUUGUUCUAGGAAAAUGCCCAAUACCUUCCCGGAAAAUUGCUGUUUUGGAAAUGCAUGGAAUCGGUGCCCAAUUGCCCUCGGGAUGCCGAUUCCAAAAGGGCCGAGAGCCAUUGACUUCAGAGCCGCAGGCCCCUUUGGUCGUAAUUGUGUCGUAGCUUCGAUUGGGAUUCCCACUCUGCCCUUUUUAUGCCGCAACGCGUUGUUCCCAAGUUAAUCAUGGUCGUUGAAGUGGUAAGAUCGGUCAGGAGAAACCGUAGUGUACGGUCUCUCUCUCUCCCUCUCCAAUGCACGCUUUUUUUGUAGUCUGGAAUUGAUGAGUGCCAGAAAACUUGGUCGCCGAGAAAAAUUUGAAGGUCUUCGGAGUAGAUCAAUAGAAGGUGCAGCCGUGGAAAGUAAAGGACGGAGAAAGAAAAACAGCUUCUAAUCCUAUUCAAUGGUCACUGGAUAAACAUUUCUCCGUUUAUCCGCUUGAAUUCAUUUGCAAAUGCAGGGACCACACGUCGAGGCCCAGAAAUUGCUGCAGGAAAAUAUGGAUCAACCACUACUUGGAAUGUUUGAAUGGCAUCUACGAGCAUUUGUGGGAUUUCUUAACAAGAGCAGAUCUUGCAUGUCUCCCCACUCACUAAAGACUUGGUUGGUUCGUGGAAAAAGAAGGAAGGAAGUAUGGUCAACAAGAAAAAAAAGUUUUCAAAUGAGAGAGACAGGAGCUAGUAUUCUAUAAAAAAAAUUCACGAGGGACACGAAAGAGCUACAUUUUCAUCGACUAAAAAUUAGAAUCUUUUUUAUCAAAACUAUUCUUAAGCCAUCAAAAUCCAUAAAUAAAGCCUUCUCCUCUAUUAAGAAUAUAAUAGAUACUUAGUACAAAUUUUUCACAAAAGUAGAUACCCAACUAAAUAUAAGCUACUCUGAAAUAUAUUAAUUUUUUAUGAUCAACCAAAUAUACAUGCCCAAACUAUUUUUAGUUUUUUUAAAAAUAAUUCGGCAAGAAAAAUAACUAACUUAUUUAUGCUUUUGCUUCGGUUUCCAUAAAUUUUUUAUAGUGGCUUUUAAGAUGUUUAAUUUUACAGCCUUUCGAAGGGCAAACCUGGCAAUCCAUUAAGUUAUCAGCAUAGCCACUUAAGCAAUUUAAAACUUUCUGAAAGCCUAGUUAUGUUAAAAUGUUAAGUUGGGUGGUGGUUAGGCUCUCCAUCUUACUCUAACCAAUAAUAAAUGAGGGUUUGAUUAGUAGAGUUCCCCAUCAACGUUGGGUGAUUUAAUGCCAAAGUUUUGCGUGGAGUGAUGGGCAAAAGAGGAGGUGCCAGUGUCGGUGGGGACCAAAGUCCGCACCCUCCGGGGGGCAAACGACGUUGUAAGGCUGCUCAUUAUUGUUUUCUCAAACACCUGACACCUCUCAUUAUUAUCCAAUUACUAAACUCCUAUUUUCCCUUCUCUCUCCACACACGCUUCAAGAGGAAAGUGAAUCCAAGUCGUUGGUACGUAAGAUCCAAAAGACAAACCUCCAUCCCCCUAUUUUCCCUUCUCACUCCUAUUUGCUUCUUUUUUUUUUAGCAAGUGAAGAGUAAUUGAGAGGGGCAAGGCAUAGGCAGCUCAGGAAGAUUCAAUGGAGGGCUGAGAACGAUUCCAGGACGAGGCAAGGAGUGACUGUGUUCCCUCGAACAAGAAUCCCUCCAUAUGUGCAAAGGAAAAUUUUUUUUUUUUAUUUAAACCAUAUAUUCCAUCGUACAUAUCUUAAAAUAGAAAUCAAAGAGUCAAAAUUAAAUGAAACUCCCUACUAAUAGAAUCCUACUAUUUCAAAACUUGAAAGAAAAAAAAAGAAAUACAUAAAGUGUCUGCUCACAAGACAGUCCAUUCUUAUCUCUUCUUCCUCAUCAAAUUGUCCUUCCCUCUCCAUCUAUGUACAUGGUGUUCGCUACUAUACAAUCUAUAGCUAAAUAAUCCAUAUUUGACGACUUUAUGAUAUUGUAGGUUUCUUCAUAUCUAGUAGCAACUCAAUACAUAUCAGAUAAAUCGAUAUACGGUUUUCAGAAGAUAGUAUUUAAGAGUACACAAUAUAUGACCAAACGAGACAUGCAUAGCAAAUAAGUCAUAUAGUAAUUUAAUAUACACCUCUAAAUAAAUAGAUAUACAUUUUUUAGAAUGUGAGUUUUACUAGUAUAUAGUAUAUGGUCACGUGAUACAUAUUCGUUGGCUUUUUGAUAUAUAUUGUAAGUUUCUUUGAUACAUUACCAAUAACAAUUUAAUGCAUAUCUCUAAGUAAAUCGACAUAUUGUUUCUACAAUGUGGUGUUUACUAGUACAGUCUUUGACCAAGUGAUGCUUAUUUGGCAAAUUAGUAAUCAAACAACCUAAUAUAUACUUCCAGGCAAUUGAUACGUAGUUUUUAGAAUAUGGUUUUUACUAUAUCACCAUGUAAUUGAACAUAUCUCAACCAAAUGAGCUUUUAGUUUUCAUGCUUACCAUUCUUUUUCUUUGACGCCCCUCCCUCCUUGGAUGCUUGGAUAGUCACAAGUAGGAUGCUUGGAUGGUCACAAGGAUAAAAGUAGUUAAAUUCUUUGAUUUUUAUGAUUUAUGACUUGAUAAAACGCUUGAAAAAGUCAUGAGGAAUUGAAUCAGUCAGGCUUUUUUUUUUUUGCUCGUUUGCGAAGAAGGGACGCGGAAACUCGAUAUCUAUAAAAAGUUAUGAGGUAUUAAAUAAGACAAGCGUUUUAGAGCUAUCAAAAACUCAUAAAUUAUUACAUGAUUAAAGUGAUGCACUGAAAUUGUCGUUUGCUCUUGCGAUGGACAGUGUUGCCUUUCCUAUCCUUGUUAGUUUACACAUAAUUUAGUACAAUUGUGCAAAAGUAAUAGCUAACCAUAUGUUUCAGGAGUACAGACUCACCACAAUUCAUCCCCAUUCCCAAAAACUAUCAAAUCCUAUUUCUCGUUUCACAAAACAUUAAAGUCUUGUUAGAAAAAUCACUUUUUUUUCCUAAAGAAAACAUAUUGUUAUUUAGAACAGCACAAAUUAUAACAUAUUUAUUUUCUCUCUAGGAUCAUUAUUGAAAUCUUAUGUUAAUCCAACCAACAUACUUGUAAGACUUGUGGUUGGCAGCCAUGCUGGUUUGAUGUUGUCAAUUCUUGAUAAGGAGGCCUUUGACUCAUUUUCAUGAAUUGAAUCGUGGUGGUCUUAGAACCCCUGCCAUCUCUAUGUUUGCAAAAUCUUCUUAAUCUAAGAAUAUGAUCAAAAUAUCUGUUUCUGCAAUUAUUCUAGUAAGAGAUGGGUAGCAACAUAUGGGGAACUCUCAAUCAAUCAUGAUCAUAUAGUUUUAAUGAUAAAUCUAUAAUUAUUUUCUUAAUAGUAUGUUCCUAUUUAUGAAAUACUUAGAAAAUGAAAGCUGUCAAUUCAUUGUCAUCGCUUCACUCAAAAAACCAAAAUGAUAGUUGCUUGUCAUACAGAAUUUAAGAUACUCCUAUGCACAAUCAAUAAACAAAUGGGAGAUAGAAGACGCAAUUGAAAAUAAUACAUAGAUUGAAAUAUUUUUUCACUGAAAGAUUUUAAAACAAAGACGUAGAAGUCAAAUUGUCUCCCACUGGAUCUCAAAGUUAAAUUAAAGUAUAUUAUCAGGUUUCCAUCAAUAUGCUUUCCCCUGGUACUGACAAUAGGGCACAAAAAUACUUCACUUUUUUUUUCCAGAAUUUUCUCCUCAGCUGUUUGACAUGGUUAAUUCCUUUCAAUAUUUAUAGGAACUGAUUGUUGACACUCCCACCAUGAUUCUAUAACGUGUAAAGAGAACAGAAAACGUGGAUUCUUCUCGACUAUUACGUAAUGAAAGGAUAAUUUUCUUGCAAUAUCUUUAUUAAAAGAACAAUUUCUCUGUUAGUAUAAUUUUAGAGAUCACAUAAUAACUUGCAAAUCAGUUUAUAAUUUUCUUUUGCUAACAUAAUUUUUUAUCAAUAAAUAUUAUUUUUUUAUUUGUAUAAUCUUAUUAAAGUGAUUUUAGGAAUUAUGUAAUAACUUAUAUCAGUCAAUAACACUUUUCUUUAUUAGAAUAAUUCUAUAUCAACCUAUAUUAUUUUCUUGUAUAAAGUUUAUACGCUAGUAUAUAUUUAACUCUCGAGAUAUACCGAAUGUGAGAAAGCAGAGAAAUAAAAUUAUUUUUCUCUCUCUUUCUUUCUUUUGUUUUUCUAUUUUUAUGCAAAUAUUUCAUCAUGGUAUUAAAGCCACCGAUCACUUAAUCUGCUGUUGCCGUCUCUUUCACAUUUGUUAUGGCCAUCAUUGCCAUGUUUAGAAGAUUUUAAGAUCCCUAUUGCCGAUCUAUCUAUCUCUAUUUUUUGGUAAAUCAAUAUUCGAAGAUCCUCUAUUUUUUGAUGAAUUCGCAGAUUCUCUAUUUUUCCACUGGUCCUCUAUUUCCUAGUGAAUCAGCAUUAGAUGAUCCCAUGUCUUUUAGUAAAUCUGCAUAUCCUCCGUUUCUAGUAGAUUAAUAUCCAAAAAUCUUUUAUUUUCUAAUGGAUCUGCAUCUUCUCUCCACUGUUUUUCUCCUUAGUUUUAGAUCUUUGGACAUCUCACAUCACCGUCACUCGGCCUCUUCCCCUCUAUCUCCAGUUUCAUUUGUUGCCUCCUGCUCCUUCACCAUCCAAUUCGAGGUCUCUUGCUCCCUUCCAUAGUGCCUCCAUCUGCGAGAAUCGUCGACCUUUGGUUGCCUUUUAUAUAAGCUUGGGACCUCGCUGCAACUGUCAUAUUUUAUGUAUCUUCUCACUGUCAUGCAAUCUAAAGUAGCCAUAAUAAAUGACACAAUACUCUACCACAUGAGCACAGAUAAGACAUAUCAUCCAACCACAUCAUCAUUGAUCAGCCAUGAUGCUUUGCCACGUUAUCACUUAUCCAUCCGUAAAGCUGCCAUAUAUAUCUCUGCAAUAUGAGAGCCACGUUGGCUACUAAUUAGAUACAAUAGUCCAUCAUCAAAUAUAUUAAUUAGCCACAUCAAUAUACCACGUCAUCAAGCAAGUCAAUUAGCUAUAUCGGCAAACACGUUAAUUUACCACUGUAAUAACCCCAAAAUUUUUUUUNNNNNNNNNNNNNNNNNNNNNNNNNNNNNNNNNNNNNNNNNNNNNNNNNNNNNNNNNNNNNNNNNNNNNNNNNNNNNNNNNNNNNNNNNNNNNNNNNNNNNNNNNNNNNNNNNNNNNNNNNNNNNNNNNNNNNNNNNNNNNNNNNNNNNNNNNNNNNNNNNNNNNNNNNNNNNNNNNNNNNNNNNNNNNNNNNNNNNNNNNNNNNNNNNNNNNNNNNNNNNNNNNNNNNNNNNNNNNNNNNNNNNNNNNNNNNNNNNNNNNNNNNNNNNNNNNNNNNNNNNNNNNNNNNNNNNNNNNNNNNNNNNNNNNNNNNNNNNNNNNNNNNNNNNNNNNNNNNNNNNNNNNNNNNNNNNNNNNNNNNNNNNNNNNNNNNNNNNNNNNNNNNNNNNNNNNNNNNNNNNNNNNNNNNNNNNNNNNNNNNNNNNNNNNNNNNNNNNNNNNNNNNNNNNNNNNNNNNNNNNNNNNNNNNNNNNNNNNNNNNNNNNNNNNNNNNNNNNNNNNNNNNNNNNNNNNNNNNNNNNNNNNNNNNNNNNNNNNNNNNNNNNNNNNNNNNNNNNNNNNNNNNNNNNNNNNNNNNNNNNNNNNNNNNNNNNNNNNNNNNNNNNNNNNNNNNNNNNNNNNNNNNNNNNNNNNNNNNNNNNNNNNNNNNNNNNNNNNNNNNNNNNNNNNNNNNNNNNNNNNNNNNNNNNNNNNNNNNNNNNNNNNNNNNNNNNNNNNNNNNNNNNNNNNNNNNNNNNNNNNNNNNNNNNNNNNNNNNNNNNNNNNNNNNNNNNNNNNNNNNNNNNNNNNNNNNNNNNNNNNNNNNNNNNNNNNNNNNNNNNNNNNNNNNNNNNNNNNNNNNNNNNNNNNNNNNNNNNNNNNNNNNNNNNNNNNNNNNNNNNNNNNNNNNNNNNNNNNNNNNNNNNNNNNNNNNNNNNNNNNNNNNNNNNNNNNNNNNNNNNNNNNNNNNNNNNNNNNNNNNNNNNNNNNNNNNNNNNNNNNNNNNNNNNNNNNNNNNNNNNNNNNNNNNNNNNNNNNNNNNNNNNNNNNNNNNNNNNNNNNNNNNNNNNNNNNNNNNNNNNNNNNNNNNNNNNNNNNNNNNNNNNNNNNNNNNNNNNNNNNNNNNNNNNNNNNNNNNNNNNNNNNNNNNNNNNNNNNNNNNNNNNNNNNNNNNNNNNNNNNNNUAUUACUUCAGCCUCUAAGCUGCCAUGUCAACUUCUAAUCUACCAUCACGUCAAUUUUUGAGCUGCUAUGUUGGCUCCUAAUCUAUCAUAUCAACUUCUGAGCUACUACUUUAUCUUUUGAUCUGCUGCGUCAAUUUCUAAGUACAUUCGCGAUCUAGUUUCCAAACUUAAGUUGGUAUCUACAGUGUCAUAUUUAGUUUGACGGUGGAUGUUAGCAUAAUUUUAAAGAUCAUGUAACAAGCUACAUCACCCAAAAUAUUUUUUUAUUAGCAUGAUUCUGUAUCAAUAUAUAUUUUUUUAUUAAAAUAAUCUUGUUAGAGUAACUUUAGGGAUCACGCAGCAGUCUGUAUCAUCCAUAAUAUUUUUUUUAUUAAUGUAAACCUUUUGUUUUCUUUAUAAAGAGUUUAUACAUGCAUAUAUGACCCCCGAGGUAUACCGAAUGCCAUAGGGAAAUAAAAUUAUUUUUUUUUCUUCUAUAAAUUUUUUAACACUGUAUUUUACGUUUAGACAUAAGUACUUUCUGACCAAAUGAUGACCACCCCAACAUCCCAGCAAACUUUGUGACCUUGGGAAAGCUUUGAUAAGAUGAAUCAGCCUGGGUCCAUGCGUUUGUUUCCGGUCCUUCCACCUAUUGAUUACGAUUCCCUUCUUUUUUUGAGGCAAUUGAUUAGUAUUCCUAACCCAUGGAAAUGGUGUUAAUGAUGCUUAGUUGGACAAGGCCGUAUUCUUGGUCUUUUUGAGGUAAUCGAUUAUUAUUCCUAACCCGUGGAAAUGGCGUUAAUGCUGCUUAGCUGCACAAGGCUGUAUUCUCGGUCUACAAAUCUUUUUUGACUAAACCCUCACCAGCCUUGGCAAUUAGUGCACAACCUACCAAACCAAAAGCUGAGCUACUGUGGACAAAAUAUUAGGUUCAGAAUGGACUAGAAACCUCAUCAAAUCAAUUCAAGCUCACCUCAGUCAAGAUGGCAUUUUGAAAGGAUCACUGUUUCUGUAAUUCCUCUCAAUGAUAUUCUUGUUGUUUCUAACUUUUCAUUGGAGGUUAAGUGCUUGAAUGGUCCUGGUAGUUGGUAACAUAUAAAGAAAACUAGUAGAAAUUUAGCGAGCUAUACAGAUACGAACAGUAGAUAAGACUUUAAUGCUCAGAAAUGGUCCUCGUAGUUGGACCGACAAAUAGGAAAUGCGUUUUAAUGCUCAGAAAUGGUGGAAACAGUGUCUGUCUUUUCUUUAUGCCCUCUUUCCUUUCGUUAAUAUAUAUAUAAUAUGGACAAUUGGGAGAAUCCAACGUUAAAGGCCUGUUUGUGGCAAGCAAACUCUAUUGCCAAGUUGGAAAGACCCAUGCGAGCCCUGUACACUCCAAAAUCAAAGAAAGCUUCAACAACCUCCACAAUGGAAAAAUAGUUCAACUUCUUUCGCACAAAUAUAAUUCCAUCCCUCAUCCUCUUCGUUAUCAAUAAAUUUAACUUUUACAUCUAACUCGAAAUCAAAAGCAGAGAUUGCAUAAAUCUUCAAAAAAUAAAAUCAGGUCUAUAACUGCAUGAGAUUGCAUGAAACAAUUCAGCCUAAUAUAAAACUAGGCUCAGUCUCAACCAGCCAUAAAAUACCUCAUUUAAUGUUUAUACCAAGUUUAACCCCCAACUGGAAAGCUGCAAUUAAAAUGUCAGCUGAGCUAUCCACUGCUCAUUUAAAUUAAGUAACAAGAGAAAGUAUAGAUAGACAAGUAAUCUAAUAUCCAUGCCACCUUUAAUUACUUCAGUCAACUGACAUUCAAGCCUUUUAUGCCAAAGAUUUCAACUUUAAUGAUGAAUAAAACAGGUUCAAUCCCAUGAUCUCAAAGUUGCACCUAGGACUGUCAAACAACCAUGAUAUGCGCCCGAUGCUUUUCAGGAUCUUCUAGAAGACGGCAAGGCGACAGAAAACACUUGUAACAUUUCUAUUGGAUGAUCCAUUGCCCGAAUCCAGACACCCAUUUCUCGAAUCCUGGCACUAAAGCCCACAACUGGGAAUCCACUUCGAUCAACACUAUCGAAUGUCCCACUCAGGAGCCACACCUUACAGUCCCGGUGAAGUAAAGAGUGGAGAAUGUGAUUCUCUAAUUGGAAAGUUGAUGCUGACAAUGGCAGAGGAAGUCAAAAUCAUAUGGACCAAGUUCUGGGUUGUCCUCCAAGAUAAUAAGCAAAAUAGUUGAGAACAGGGAAAGUCAUGAAUGAUGCCAAAAAUCCUAGGUCCCAAAAAAAUGAUAUUUGAAGUUCAGAGCAACGGCAUGGCAAGGAAGAUGAAGGAUAACUUCCUUCAAAACAUUGUCCUGAUGCACUAAAGAUUAGUAACCAAUACCCUGGCUGCAAUUCCUGUGAAUAAAAAUUAUAAAAGAAUAAAACGGCAAGUGAGUGAAUGACAUUUUAUCUUUAGUUUAAACAAUGACAAGCAAGCAUGAUGCUUGUGGUGGUUGAAACAUUACACAAACAGAUAGUAGCUCAGAAGUCAAGAACUCAACUUCAUCUGGAGGGAAUAAUUAGCUUGGUAAGCUGUCAAAGCAACCAGCACAAAAUCUCUGUCCAAGAAUAUUUACCAAGCUGAUGGAUUAUGGAAACAGACUGCUGGAGGUUUACUAUAAACCAGUAGUCAUCCUUGCCUAGUUCUUCGAUUGCAGGUACGUGUUAACGAGAAACAUUUAUCUAACGAGAUGCAUGGGAAACAGAGGAAAGGAUCACCAUCUUCCUUUCUUAGCAAUCAAGUUGUGAGUAGGCAAUCAACUACCACUAAACUUCAGAAAUUUACAUAUAUAUAUAUAUAGAAAAAAGAAAAUGUUAUAGAAACAACUGGAAAAAUUGCAGUGGUUUCUGAAACACCCAUAUGCUUACCCCGCUCCAAAUGAACAGCUUCAUCAAAAAUGAAAUAGAACACAGACUCAAAUGUCUCAUCCAAGUUCAAAGCAACUUGAGAAACAAACCAAAAUAACCAAAUUUCUCUUUUUCUACAGCAAAUUAAGCUCACAAAAACCGAAAGCAACUUAUGGAGUUAAUUCCAUCGAACAUUAACAAAACUCUGGAUACAUAUGGGAGAAACUUAACCCUAGGCAACUUAAAUAAUGAAGCACGAGUCUAACUUUUGUUCUUCUUUUUUUUUCUCCCCUUUUUUCUUUUUGCAUGUGUGUGUUUGUGUCUGCAACAUCAUUGUGAUCAAAGAUUAGCUUCCUCCGCUAGAAGUUGGAAGACCUUCCUUGAAGUUCUUUUAUGUGUCAUGUGAUUCUGUGAUAAAUUUGUGUUAUCAGAAAAUAAUUCCAUCGGAAUCAUCAAAACAGAUGAGGUUUAAGGGCUUAAUCUCAUUCCAUUUAACCAAAUUAUAAGUUAGUGCGGGGCCAUUCGAUCUUUUCACCACUACUCUCUAAUCUAAAUGGUUGGGAAAAAUGAAUCAGGCAAUAAUAUACAUCAUAAAACAGCCAGAAAUUAAACUUCUGCAUUCUUGGAUCAACGUAUUACAUUUCCUUCCCCUCCAAAAUUCUUUCAAAAUUCUAUCAAAAAUUUAUCAUAUUCACUAAUUAACGUGAAAUGAUAAUUUACCAAUGCUUAAAAUAAAAAGGAAAAUGCUGCAGGGCACUCGUUAUGCACACUCAAAAAGUUGAUUAGGCCAGAACUGUUGAUUUAGCAACACUACAAUUAAUCAAAUUUUAUAUUUGGCAACAAAUACUGCAAGUUGUACCAAUCCUAUCUUGCUACAUGGCAAGAGAAUUGCUCAUGUGCCCACCCUGUAGCAUCAUUUUAGUUAUUCCACAUUCCAUUCUUGUUUAAAUCCUGCAACGAUGAUACCGUCGCCAUUGAUGAUGAUGAUACAUCCAAUACUAGCAAGUCUACCCUCAUGCCUCGUAUUGAUAUUUCUCAUUGGGGGUGAAAGUGGACAAGAUCAUAUUCGUCCAGAUCCAUUUUCAUAUUCAAUUCUAUUAAGAUAUGAACAAAAAUUUUAGCAUCUAACUAUAUCUAUGUUCGUAUUCAUAUCCAUACAAAAAAAAAGGAUAUAGAUAUGGAUAGACAACUACCCGAUCUGUAUCCGAAUAUCCAAUUUUAUUUACAACCCUAUUUAAUUCUAUAUAACACACAAACUUUUAAUAAAAAUAUAUAACCAUAUUAACAUGCUAUUGACGUGAUUUACCAUCCAUUUAGUAAUAUCUUUGAUUCUAUGGUCAUAAAGUAUAACUAUCGGAUUUAUAUCCAUAUUUAUAUUCAUAUUUUCAGUAUCCGAUAUGCAGCCGUAUUUGUUUGAAACAAAUAUAGAUAUAAAUUUUUGUAUCCGAAUAAUAUGCAUAUCCAUAUUUAUAUUCAUCAAAUAAAAUAAAUGUAGAUAUGGAUAUACUGAUAUUCAAUCAGUAUCUAGUCUAAUUUCAGCCUUAUUUCUCAUUGUGGUGGCCCCGAGAACUUUCCAUUGUGUUGUUGUGAAGAAAUGAUAUGGUGGUAAUGCGCCACGAUCAGAGUUCAAAGCUGGACCAAUAGAAAGUCAUAUAACCAACCGAACGAAAAGGCCUGCCAAGUGCCAAGAGAAAUAGCCCAACAGCCCACUACCGCUGGUUUGGGUUUCAUCUGAACUUCUAGGGUUUUUCCCAUCGGUUGACUCUUUAAAUUGACACGCCGGGGACUGGACUUCCCCAUCUCGAGCGGCCUCCAUGGAUUUUGUGGUACUCAUAUUUCUCUACCUUCCAAGCUUCUCUAAAACUAUUCUCCCGUUUUUUUUUAUAUUUACUAAUCUUCUCUGGAUAAUAAAAGUUUGCUCUGAUCCAAGUGGAAUUUGUAUGUGUGGAGGGGGCGAUGAUGAUGCGAUUUUGUUUGCAAUGAUAUGGUUUGCCAUAUGAUUAAUCUUUAACAAAUCAUCGCUACGUUCUUUCUGAGUCCCCUUUUAUUUUAGCAAUUUAUUUCUCCUAAUUUUCUUAUUAUCAUCUUUUGUCUCCAUGUAAACCGUAGCGUUUUUUUCUUAGGCAAAUAUACUCAACUUUUGGAUUCUCCUUGGGAUUCUCCGGAUUUAGCCAUUCCCUUUUUUUUAUUUCUUUUUAUUUUUUUCUUAAAAUUCCCUUGGGCCCAAUAUGAAACCUGAUUUCUUUGAAGAUUAAUCAGUGCUGUACACUUUUUUUUUCUUUUUAGAAGACAAAUCAAACUUAGAUUAAGUUAAAACGAUGCAUCCUUGGCGAGUAUUUUCGGAUUAAAUUCUGAAUGGAGGUUUGAGAUUGAGCUCCAACCGAUUUAGCUCUUUCUUUUUGUGUUAGAAAAUGGUGACCAAGUCACCACCAUUUGGCAUUCACAACAGGAUGGGGAUCGUCACCCGAUUGGAGCUGCAGUGUGAACUUUGAAAAAUAGAAUAGAAAGUUAAGGAAUAAAAUAUAUUACUUAAAUACAAAUACUACUUAUCUUUAGCAUUAUUUUUUCCAUAGAUGAAUCAUCACAUCCAUACUCAAAUCCUUAAAAAUUUUGAGACGCCGUAUAAGUUAGAAAUAGUCUGAGUGAUUUGCUGUUGCUGACAACCAAAAGGCUGACUACGAGUUCGGAGUUUUUUUUUUUUUUUGUCAAAAACGAGUUCGGAGUUUGGAAUACUGAGUCAUAGUCUAAGCUAUAAUACUAUUGCAAUUAUAGCUUUUGCGCACGCCAAUAUCUAGCUUCAACUUGGAAGCCUUUUCUGGAUAAACGAAUUGAAACCUCUUUUUUUUCUUGGAAAUUGAUUGAAAUUUCUGCAGAACUUUGGAAACCAAGUUCAUACUGACAUUUAGAUCCAAGUUUGUCAGUUUGGGGAUGCUGGAGGAUUAUGGCCACAUGAAUAUAAUGUCUGGCACAGGGAGUUCAAGUGUCACACAUUUGGCUCUGGUGAAUUAGUUGUACAAAUUGGCAUUACAGUAUGCUCUUAACAUAUGAAAAAGCUCAUGAAAGAAUGAUCAACUGAACAUUUCAGCCCAACCAUUUCAGCACAAGUGUCAGCCAUGGUAUCCAUGAUCAACUGAACCCUACAUCAAGAGUGAGCGAAGGGAAUCUGUGGUGUUUCACCUAUGCCAUAAAACAUGAGUUAGUUGAGGAUAGGCUGGGCCACGAGUAGCCUCUAGCUCUUCUUAGUUCGGAGGGAGACUAGUGAUGCACCUGUUAUACGGAGAAGGUUUAAUGUAUGCAGCUUUACCCCAAUAUACAGAGAGACUAUUUCUAUAUUUCUAAUCAACAAUCUUUAGAUCAUAAUGAAGCAAUCUUAUUGUUGCACUACAAUCCACCCUCUUUCUAGCCCUAGUUUCGUAGUCCUAAUAUUAGGAGCUGACGUGUGUUGGGCCCACCUAAAUACGACUUUAGCUCUAGCUUCUCUCUAUCAAUUGAAGGCAGACAAAUUGCCACAAGAUUGUGUUGUCACCAACACUAAAAUCCACCUUCACUUGGUGUUAAAUUAACUUCUUUGGGCCAUCCUUUGGCUUUUGGAUACAAGAAAUCUGACCUAGUCUCCCAAAAUGGAGAAUAAAGCUGGCAAGCAUAUGAUGGUUGAUUUCUUUGUAUUAGGUACAUUAACCUAAUGUAAGUCAUAUUGGCUGGAUCUUGGCAUGUGCAAUACAUAUGAUUUAUACAAGUGCAAUCAAGAUUGAUUGUAGUGAAUGUGAUGAUGAUAUCCUUUGUUUUAGGUUAUGCACACUUACAUUUGUUUAUUUUUUGAUAAACACUUACAUCUAUUCAUUAAGAGCAACGGUUAGUGUGUGUUAUAGAGAUAGUAAAGGAAAAUUACAUUUAUAAUGAAAUUAGUGGAAGAUGUUCUCAAAGAUGCCAGCGUCCCUUAGUCACCAAAAUCAUCUUGUUGUAUGGGCUGCCCAAACUAUCUCAAAUGCAUAUUAGCAACCAAAAUAUGUGAAGUAGAUGUAUCAAAAGUCAAAAGAAUUUUUUUAAGAAUUUUUUUUUUGGAAGGGAGAUUUGUCCAGAAUCUCAAAGUCAUUAGUUUUUCAAUUUUUGAAAAAUUCAUAGAUCAAGCCUUCAUCCAUUGUAUGUCAUUUGGACAUUCCAUGACUUCCCUUGCAUCAAAAUCAUAUUAGUUAAAAAAACUUAUGCUUUAAUAUAUAUUUAUAAAAACCCCAAUACUACAUAAUCUCUUAGCAAGAGUCUCAAUAAGGAUAUAUAUGAGAAGAAAUAAGAUCUCUUAUGAUGUAAUACUUUUUUAGAUUGUCAAUGCUUUAUAGUUUCUUAGUUAUAAUUUCAAUACAAAAGUCAACAAUUGGUUGGCACUGCUCCCCUGAGAGCUUGCCUUUAGACAAUAUCCAGUAUUCAAAUCCUCGAUAUAGCCCAAAAAUCAAUUCUAAUAAAUAAAAACUUUUUAUAUUUCUGUUAAUGCUUUCUGUCCAACUUUCUCAAAUCUUUGAUUCCCCUAGCUUCUUAAAAGAUCUUUGUUCUCAUAAUAACUUAGUAAAUCUUAAAUCACGGUUGCUCAUAAAAAAAAAGUAAACAUGGACAUUGACGUGUCAUACACGCAUGAAGACUGGCACUAAAAACUGGAAGCUGAAUGUUUUUUUUUUUUAAUGUAGUUAUGACCCAACUCAAGGAGAAAAACCAAAAAUAAAAAAAAGAAACAAAAUCUACCCUCCUAAGAAGGCUCUAAAAAGAUGAUUCGCACAAUCCAAGCGUUUCAGUGAACCUGAACAAAUUAAACCACUGCAUUCAAAGAACCUGAUCCUGAACCCAAAAUUUGCAGCCAGGCUGACGAAAAAAUCAAGGCUGCCAUGAGAAUUUUGAAUCUAAGUUGGACGAUGGGCCCAGCCCUGCGGUCCGUGCGUACGUCCUCUUACUUAGUUGUCCCGUCCGUUCCAAGUUGGGCUGUUGAGUCAGAAGGUCACCUUUUCUUUCAUAAUUUGGAUUCUUUCAGAAUUUAUUUGGAUAUUUCCAUAAAAUUAAGCUAAAAAUUUUAUAAAUUUGUGGAUUGGAUACUGUUUAAAUAUUUCUAUAAUUAGGCUAAAAAAUUCUAGAGAAUUGAGCCUAUUGGUCCUUUUGCUUGUAUUUUUUAAGUGCCUGAAUCUUUAAGCUGCAGGAAGAAAAAAAAUUUAUACCUAUGAGAUUUGGACUGGAAGGUAGUUGGUUGGUCCAUAGUUAUACUUAAAUGGAUGACUUAAUUCAUGAAUCUUACGAAAUUUUCCUCUUUCAACCCUUCAGCAGUGCUCUAGACUGCAACAAGGUGGGAUUGGGACGAGUUCAAAGCUGUUGCUUUGCUUUCCUAGGAGUGAAGUUGGUCUGCUUUGUCUAGUAUCUAUCGUGCGCCACGUGGCUUUCAAGAUAGGUUCUAUGUGCAGACUAACGUUCAUGAUGAUUAAAUUACUUGCAAAUGAAACUAUGAUGAGCUCAUGAGCCGUGAUAGCAUUCCUCAGCACGUAACUUCUCCAAAAUGCGAGAAAAAUUGUUGCUUUGAUUCUAAACACAUUUGAAAGACUUUUGACCGGUACCAUUUUUAUUCAUGACAAAAAUUGCAAUUAGAGUUUCCUGUUCAUCUUAUCCAAAAUCUAUUAUGGUUUAGACAUCAAUAAGUUGGAUAUGUGACUCCUUAAGAUGAGUCAUGCCAUCCUAUUCACACUGUAGGGCCCAUAUUUAGAGGCAUUUAGCUGGUGUUAUAUAUAUAUAUAUAUGUAUUGGGUCAUCCUGAUAUGGCGUAUACGUAAGUAUUGCAAAAGGAUAGUUGGAUAUGGUUUGAUUUCAAGGUACUAGCCCAGUUGUGAUGGUGCCGAAUGCUCGAUCAAUACAUACCUAGCCAUGAUCAAGUUGUCGUAGAAGGCAAUCAUGGCAGUAUUUGCUGUUCGUCUUUCGAAUGACAAUAUUUCUAGAAACAAGCUUGAUCAUAUUCCAAAUAUGGCGUUCUAAUUUUGGAAGAUAACUAUGGUUGAAAUAAACUUGAUUAUCUUCCUAUUAUGGCCAUAGCCACAAUUUCCUUCCUGUAUUGUCGUUAUAUGAUUUUAAUAUAUUGUCAUUAUAUGAUUAUAUGUAAUCUCUCAUUAUCUUCCUUGAAAUGCUGUGUUUAUAAAUAAAUUGUCAAAGAAUCAAAUCUCAAUAAUAAGGAGAAAUCUAACAACUAUGGAAAAUCAUAUAAUGACAAUAUACAUGGAACCAUAUAAUAACAAUACAUGAAAGUAAUUACAGCAAUGAUAGGAAGGUAAUCGAAGCCAUGAUAGGAAGAUAAUCAUAUUUGUUUCAAUCAUAAUUAUCUUCCAAGAAUCAGAUGCUAUAUUGGAAGGAGUUCAAACUUGUUUUUAGCAAUAUUGCCAUGAUUGCCUUCUAUGACAACAUGACAAUGGCUGGGUGCAUGUAUUGACCGAGUAUUAAUUAAGGCACCAUCAUAACUGAGGCAACUGCCAACUCAUGCAUGCAAGUACCUGCUGUACACGCCACAUGACUCAUAAAGCUUAUGAAUAGCUCAAUUCGGUUGAGAAACUUUAUAGUAGUGUGACACAUUUCAUAUGGACGGCGUACCUUGGUAACUUGAUAGAGAAGGCAGUGGGCUGCUCAGAGGUUUUAAAUUCCACCCGGGGCUUCUUUCCGCCCAAUAACUAGGUGAGAGAGAGACUUGGCCAUUCUUUUCCAUUGUCUACAUUCUUUUUUAUUUAUUUUUAAGAAAGCCCUCCAGGUUUGCUCUUUGAAGAGGGAUAUUGUAUGAAACGAAAAUAUGUACGUUUAUCAAUGUCAUUAGAUUUAUAUAGUACAAAUAUAAUGAUAUUUUCGAUUUUUUAAGCAAUGAUGAUGUUAUCUUUCUUACUAUAUGCCCAAUACUAGAAUUGCAUCUGCGCAAGAAGAGUUGUUAAUAUUCAUUUCACCAGCAAAAGUUGUUCACGUAACAAGAUCCAUUAGUCAGGCAUGGGUCCCUCAUUCGAAUCCUAUGCGCCUUUUUCAAUGCUUAUUACAAGUGUUAGACUACAAAUAGAGUUUGUAUAAUAAUUUAAUGAAAUUGAAAGGAGUCUUUAAGAAAACACGAGUGCAGGUUGUGAACUCUAUUGAGAGAAAUGGAUGAACUACGAAAAGCAGACUCCUUUAACCCUCCAUAAACGUAAGGCAUUGUCAUGAAUUUUAUUAUUAUAAUUAAAUACACUUUAUUUUUAGUAUAUACAUGCACUAAUAUUAGCCUUCAAUUAAUUAGUACAAAGGGCGUAUAAACUAAUCUAUUACGAAAAAACUUAAUUGUAAUCAUGGUCAUCCAUCUUAAACAAACAACAUGCGUCUGUCAAGAUCGAGUAGCAUAUAUAUAUUGCAACUGAAGCUUCCAAAUAAAAUCCAGAAUUAAUGACGGAGAUCGCUGGAGAGAAUUCUUAGAAGAGCUAGAGAAACUUCUGUGAAUCUUUUAAAUUUACCAUAUAAUCUAAAAAGAAGUAACAACAAUUACUAAGCACUUGCAAUUAAAUAGUGCACAUGCAGUGACGGUAAUGAAAUCAGUUUGUUCGACUCGUAUUAUGGAGCCCGGCCGAAUUGAAUGGAUGAUCAGUUUUUUUUCUUCUUUGUUGGUGGAAACCAUGGAGGUCUAAGAGUUUCUUCCCCAGUUAAAACCCUAGCCCUUUAGCUUUGGAAGAUUGAUGCGGCUAGCUACAAUGCAGUACAAUAAAAGUGCCGAUCACGAGGUGACAUGGGUAGGUGAACUCAUAUUCCAAGUAGUUAUGAGGCUUGGAUGAGCUGUUCUCAUUAGAGCAAGGGUUCUCCAAACUCGGGACGACAGUAGUCUUCCAAGCUGCACUUAUUAACACCCCAUCCAGGACUAUACAAAUAAAUAGACGACAAGCUUCUAACGUAUUAUCCGUGUCAUAUCCUAUGUGAUGGCGAUCAAGACAAUGCAUCGAGGUUGGGCCUAGACAUAGUUGAAAGAAUACUUCAUUGCCUUCUGGUUUCAAGAAGCGUCAAUUUCCAAACUUAGAUGAGCUCCCUUAUGCUACAAAGCAUUAAGUCCCUUAAAUGCGCCUGCACCACGUCAACCAACUUUUUACAGUCUAUCUGCGUCCAUAUUUAUGCUCGUAUGCAGUGCUAUCAAUCGAGUCUCGCUUUUCCCGUGUAUUUAUGGACACCAACUCCCCGUGCCACUCUUCACAGCGACUCGACUCCUUUAAUUCCUCUCUCUUGCUCCUCCCUCUUUGUGGGCUUUGAGUUGGUCGCGAUGGAGAGUGGGAGGAAAGGGAAGGGCCUUCUCAUGUAUUUCCUGUUAAUGGGACUGGUUUCUCAUGAAGUGGUCACACCCGUUGUGUGCAGGAGCCUCGAGAAGUUUGCUGACCAGAAGAACUACUACUCUCCUGAUCCACAUGCACCGAGCCAUCCCAGACGUAAACUCUUCUUCCUUUCCUCUGAUCCUCUAUAGCUUUAGCUAACAGUGUAAUAACACAGCAUGGUUGACAUUCUUACAGACUUACACAGGACUCCUUCUUGCGGAACACCGCCGCACGGCGGGACGCCGACGCCAACGCCAACACCAACACCAGCACCAUCCCAUGGAGGUGGUGGCCACUCCAAUCCGCCAUCUGGUGGUGGGUACUCCAAUCCACCGCCUGCACCGAUCGUCGACGCCCCUCCUUCCCCUCCACUGGUUCCUAUCGUCCCUCCAACUCCAUUUACUCCGGUGAGCCCCACGCCUCCGGCGCCGCCGUUUAUUCCGAAUCCAAAUAUCCCGCCAUUCUUCACUGGCACUUGCGAGUAAGUCGCCUGAACUUGGUCACAAGGCGCUUGGUACAUUCUUCUGAAUCUUCCAUCUAUGUUGAAAUCACCACCCACCCCAAAAACUUAAAGCUAAUAGGAUGAGAUAAAUUUAUUUAUAUNNNNNNNNNNUUUAUUUUUUUUUUACACACUUCCUGGCUGGAUUUUUUUUCCAAUAGAUGAGCUCAAUAUGGAAUUUCUUUUUUUAAUAAUAGGGUUAAACUUUAAUACCAUGUUGAAAUCACCACUUAUCCCAAAAACUUAAGCUAAUAGGAUAAGAUAGGUUUAUUUAUAUAUUUUAUAAUUUUUUUACAAUCUAAGUCGUUACGUUACAUGCAUUCAGCUUCUGGAGGACGCACCCAGCAGCAAUAUGGGGCCUCUUUGGUUACUGGGUCCCCGUCGGCCAAUUCUUCGGGUUGCCAUCUACUUCGAUGUUUGGGAGGAACCUGAGCUUACCGGAGGCACUGGCGAACACUCGCAAGGAUGGCUUCGGAGCUCUCCUCCGCGAAGGGACGGCUUCUCUUCUCAACUCCAUGGUGAACCGGAGGUUUCCCCUGACGACGCAGCAAGUGACGGACGCUUUUGCCGCUGCUGCAGCGUCCAACAAGGCUGCUGCAGCCCAAGCCCAGCUCUUCAAGAAGGCUAAUGAGGGCCAUCUCAAGCACAAUUAGUAGCGCCUCCUGAUAUUUUCCUUCAAUGGUGCAUGCGUUUUCGCUGUAGUCUCGUGUAAUGAGCUUGAGUAGUGUGUAUGACUGAUGAUCUUCUUUGUGUGUGUUGUCUUGUGUCAAAGCUUCGUAAUUUCAAAUGUAGUGCGAUGUUGUGGGGAGUGGAAAUGGCAUUAAAGAUGAAACAUGAGCAUAUGUUGCAGUGGACCGAACUCGGUUAAUUUUCGGAUAUCAGGCUUAGAACAAGUCCAUGCAAAUUUAGGCAGCUCAAAUAAGGUGAUGAUGCCCCAACCCGCUGUUAGUACAAAGUUCAGAGUUAUGCCUUCAAGACCAGAUCUGAUUGCAAUGAAGUGGCGUGAAUUUUUCCCAUAAAGCUAUUUCGUUCGUUCAAGGUCCAACAGAGAUUAACUCGAGGCCAUUUCCAUUCAUUUCCAGCCCUAGUUGGUAGGUAGGAAACCAUGAAUGUAAUCGGCGAAAGGAGACCACAAUUGAAUGUCAGUAUCAACCAUGCCGAAUAAAAUAGACCUCUUAAUAGAACCUCGCCAAAUCAUGGCAGUCUAACGUUGCCUCGGAAGUGCGGCCAGAUCCAGUUCCUUGAGGAAUGGACGGACUUCUUGCUGUGUAGUGUUCUCAAAUCAGAACAAUCAAUGCGCCUUAAUAGCACUUCACAGUGACAAUUAAUCGGAUUCAAGUCAGCAUUGUGCUGAACCAACCAUCCCCUGCCCGGAAACAUUUAAGGGAUACAGCAGGCACAGAGAUAGCCUUCCGGCCAAUCCUAAACAGGGCUCUAGUUGCCCCGGUUGAUUUGGCUACACCAAGUUCUCGCUUGAAUCAGUUGCAUACGUAUAACACUUGUUGGGAAAGGUAUCAAAGGGGAAGCAGUGUACAUGGAUUUUAACCAUUUGCAUCUUUUCGUUCAUCAUCUUAUAAAUUGUUCAAACAAAAAAAAGAAAAAGGGAGGAAACGAUGCUCCAAGUUCACCUAGGUCUUUAUGAUUUUGUUGGAACCUAUCUGAUCUAAGUCUGAAUUGAAAAACCAAGAGCUUGUUUGGUAAUGUUUUCAUUUUCUGUUCAAGAAGAAAAUGAACCAAAUUAGAUAUCAUGUAUGUUGAAAACUAUUUGUUCUUCAAAUUUUUUGUAAAAUAGAUUUUGCUACUAUGCCUUUUUUGUUGUUUUUAAUAGAAUGAAAUAAACGAAACAAACCAUCAAUUGAUGAAAGAUAUUAUGAGAAAAUAAUAGGCUAAUGUUGACAAUCGAUUUUCUAUAUUUAUUUUUUAUUUCUAAUUUAGUCCAAAUUCCACGUGAGCGAUAACCUUCCAAAAUUCAAUCUUGUUGCUAAAAAUUCGAUUUUUUUCGAGUGCUAGCCACGUACGAGAUGUGCUUCAACGUCUUGAUCAACGGUGCCAUCCCCAAUACCAUCAACCUCCACUUGAACUGCCGCACCAUUUUCAUGAUCCUCCACCACAAUGGCUCACUAUAAAAAUAUGAAUUUUUUUCUUUUGAGAAGAUAAAAUAUAAUUAUUUUUUAUUUCUUUAUCUCAAAUAAAAUAAAAGAAGAAAGAAAAAGAAAAAGAAAGAAAGAAAAAAUAAAAAAAUAAAUAAAAGAAAGGAUGAAAGAAGAUAAAAGAAGAAGAACAAAAAGAAAGAAAGGAACUACGGAAGGAGGGGCGAAGUAGGGAUGGUGUCCACCCAAACAUUUGACCGGAACCACUGCAAGAACGGGGAUGGACCAGUAAUAUUGGAUUUCCAUUACGUGAGGCGGUGCGGCCGUGGUGCCUGGUUUGGCGUCAAGACCGUGUCCUUGCCGACGACUUGCAAGGUGUGCUUGAUGUUUACCCUCCGUCUUUCCACGUUCCUUCCAAUGUUAGAAUGUCACAUCAAGCCAACCGUUUUCGAAGGCAACCUAAAACGCGUAUCUGCCAUUAACCUGUUUGAGUUUUUUCCACAUACUAAUCUGAGAGUACACUUCAAGCACUUUAGCUGACAUCCAGAACACAACCUUACAUCUGUUACAUCAAAUCAAAUAAUUUAAUCUCCAAUUUACAGUCAAAAUACUUCAUAAUAGUUUUGGAUCUUACCUUUCCGGGAAAAAAAAACUGUCAUUUUUUUUUGGCGUGUGGAGUGAAUUGAAAGUUGGGCAGCAGUCCAUGUUUCCAACCUGCUAGCGUUUGGUGUCUUGGUACCUCCGAACCAGAGCCGUUACUUUAUCUUUAUUAAUUAAUUCGGCUACAAAUCAACGUGCUUUCUAAGUUUCAAUCCAAAGAAGAAAGCAAUCAUAGUCUUAGAAUGAGUGCAGCAUCCUGCCAUGUGCCAUCGGUGGGCGUGUCCUUAAAUACGGUCAGAUCCUCUCCAUCUAAGCCCACCAUUUCCGGAGAUUAGAUGCGGCAAAUCCAACCUUAACCUAGGAUUUUCCCCAAGCAUGAGCCACAAACCAAGGACCUCCUGCAAUUGCGCCACCAAAAUAGAAGGUAUUCCUACUCACAAAUCGUCAGACUAAUUAAGCAAAGGAAGUUAAUCCAGCUUUCUUUUUUAAAUAACCGAAUUUAUAACAGAUCUCUCUUAUUUAUAAAAUAUUAAAUUAAUAUUUUUUGAAUAAACUAUUUAUUAUUUUUUUGGUACAAUAGUUGCUUAUGUUAAUCAAGCAUGAAUGCAACCAACUGAGUCAAGAUACAACAUAUAGCAUAAAGAUGGGAUACAAUAUUUAGUCCAUAUCUAUUAAACCUUAUGGUACUCAUUGUAACUUUGGACACGAAAGGUNNNNNNNNNNNNNNNNNNNNNNNNNNNNNNNNNNNNNNNNNNNNNNNNNNNNNNNNNNNNNNNNNNNNNNNNNNNNNNNNNNNNNNNNNNNNNNNNNNNNNNNNNNNNNNNNNNNNNNNNNNNNNNNNNNNNNNNNNNNNNNNNNNNNNNNNNNNNNNNNNNNNNNNNNNNNNNNNNNNNNNNNNNNNNNNNNNNNNNNNNNNNNNNNNNNNNNNNNNNNNNNNNNNNNNNNNNNNNNNNNNNNNNNNNNNNNNNNNNNNNNNNNNNNNNNNNNNNNNNNNNNNNNNNNNNNNNNNNNNNNNNNNNNNNNNNNNNNNNNNNNNNNNNNNNNNNNNNNNNNNNNNNNNNNNNNNNNNNNNNNNNNNNNNNNNNNNNNNNNNNNNNNNNNNNNNNNNNNNNNNNNNNNNNNNNNNNNNNNNNNNNNNNNNNNNNNNNNNNNNNNNNNNNNNNNNNNNNNNNNNNNNNNNNNNNNNNNNNNNNNNNNNNNNNNNNNNNNNNNNNNNNNNNNNNNNNNNNNNNNNNNNNNNNNNNNNNNNNNNNNNNNNNNNNNNNNNNNNNNNNNNNNNNNNNNNNNNNNNNNNNNNNNNNNNNNNNNNNNNNNNNNNNNNNNNNNNNNNNNNNNNNNNNNNNNNNNNNNNNNNNCUUUUUUGUCGAGGUUUCUUGCUAUAUUUUCUUUGAAAGGGCUCUUUUUGUUUGAGGAGAUGGGAUCUUUGGCUUGAAUUCGGUCAGAUCUGAUUGGUAUGAAUGGGAGGAACGAAAUCUUUGUCCUAAAAAGGAAAUAAGGAAUCGGAUCUGAUCGCAUUGCCUUCUAUUUACUUACUGUUGUAAAGAAUGGAAGUCUGACUGUUGUGUGGCAAUGUUGUUUCCAUGCUGCGCUCAUGCUCUGAGAGUUUCCCCUAAGAUUUCUCAAUUAGAUAUUUGUGGUUGGUCAAUCUAAUCAGUGGGGUCUCAUUUUUUUCAUAUUCCAGACGCAUAAUAAAAAUUGGUACUUGCUCUUACUUGAGAAAUUACAAGAAGACCAAUUGAGGGUUGAUCUGGACUCAAGUGCCCUCAUUGCCUUCAAUAUUCUUAGUUCUAUAUUAAGAUAAAAGAUGAAGAAAUUCCUUGCUAACUAAAGCAUUCUUAGAUCUAUAUGAAGAUACUCUUCAAGAACUGUUUAAUUCCUGAAAAAAAGCAUCCUGGGUUUGCUGGCUUAUUCUUACCCAUUUAACUAUUUCAUCAUUCCUUAUUAUUAAAAGUUUUGCCUUUUCUUUGCUGCAAAUGUAAUAGUGCCUCUUGAUAUUGCUGAUCCGCUUGCAAAACAAACAAUUUCAAUUUCGCUUUCUUUUUUUUCUUUUGGUUUGCAGUAUUGAUAUAGGAAAAGGAAAGAGGACAGAUGGCAUCAUAUGAGCCCAAGAACAUCCUCAUCACUGGGGCAGCUGGCUUCAUUGCAUCGCAUGUCGCCAACCGCCUCAUCCGAAACUACCCUGAGUACAAGAUUGUGGUUCUCGACAAGCUCGACUACUGCUCGAACCUUAAAAACCUCAAUCCAUCCCGCUCCUCUCCCAAUUUCAAGUUCGUCAAGGGUGACAUUGGCAGUGUCGACCUCGUCAACUACCUCCUCAUCACUGAGUCCAUUGAUACCAUCAUGCAUUUUGCCGCCCAGACCCAUGUCGACAAUUCCUUUGGCAACUCAUUUGAGUUCACCAAGAAUAAUAUCUAUGGAACCCACGUUCUCCUUGAGGCUUGCAAGGUCACUGGUCAGAUCAGGAGGUUUAUCCAUGUUAGUACUGAUGAGGUUUAUGGAGAGACCGAUGAGGAUGCUGUGGUUGGAAAUCAUGAGGCAUCUCAGCUCCUUCCAACAAACCCAUAUUCAGCGACAAAAGCUGGGGCGGAGAUGCUUGUUAUGGCUUAUGGAAGGUCAUAUGGUCUGCCAGUGAUAACUACCCGAGGAAACAAUGUGUACGGGCCAAAUCAAUUUCCAGAGAAGCUCAUUCCAAAAUUUAUCCUUUUGGCUAUGAGAGGGCUGCCACUUCCGAUUCAUGGUGAUGGUUCUAAUGUUCGAAGCUAUCUAUAUUGCGAGGAUGUUGCUGAGGCUUUUGAAGUUAUUCUUCACAAAGGAGAGGUUGGGCAUGUUUAUAAUAUUGGGACUAAGAAAGAGAGGAGAGUGAUUGAUGUAGCAAUGGAUGUCUGUAAACUUUGCUCACUGGACCCAGAUACAGUUAUCAAGUUUGUAGAGAACAGGCCCUUCAAUGACCAGAGGUACUUUUUGGAUGAUCAGAAACUGAAGAACUUGGGUUGGUCAGAGCGGACCCCUUGGGAAGAAGGGCUGAAGAAGACAAUGGAGUGGUACACAAGCAACCCUGGUUGGUGGGGGGAUGUGUCUGGUGCUCUUGUGCCUCAUCCAAGGAUGCUGAUGAUGCCUGGGAUUGAAAGAUAUAUUGAUGGGUCCGAAGAGGUGAAGGGCAUGGUUUCUCAGUUCACCAAUAAUCAGAGCAGGAUGGUGGUUCCUGUUUCAAAGGGUAUUAGUGGCUCUCCUCGGAAGCAUUCUUUGAAGUUCUUGAUAUAUGGCAGGACUGGAUGGAUUGGAGGCCUUCUAGGAAAGAUUUGCGAGAAGCAAGGGAUACCAUUUGAGUAUGGAAGAGGACGUCUCGAAGAGCGCUCUCAGCUCAUUCUGGAUAUUCAGAAUGUGAAGCCAACUCAUGUUUUCAAUGCUGCUGGUGUGACUGGCAGACCAAAUGUUGACUGGUGCGAAUCUCACAAGACAGAGACAAUUCGCACCAAUGUUGUGGGCACUUUGACCCUAGCAGAUGUUUGCAGGGAGCAUGGCUUGUUAUUGAUGAAUUAUGCUACUGGGUGUAUAUUCGAGUAUGAUGCUGGACACCCUCAAGGAUCGGGUAUUGGAUUCAAGGAGGAAGAUAAACCAAACUUUACUGGCUCUUUCUAUUCGAAGACUAAGGCAAUGGUAACUUCUUGCUUUCUGUCAACGAAAAUGUCUUUUUACCUACUCUAUUAUGAAAACUCUAGAACUUAAAAGCUGAUAUGUUCGUUAUGUUGUUGCAAAAUGCAGGUUGAGGAGCUUUUGAAAGAAUAUGAAAAUGUCUGCACUCUUAGAGUUCGAAUGCCAAUAUCUUCUGACCUCAGCAAUCCUCGCAACUUCAUUACAAAAAUAACUCGUUACAGCAAAGUGGUGAACAUUCCGAACAGCAUGACAAUCUUAGAUGAGCUUCUUCCCAUAUCAGUUGAGAUGGCCAAAAGAAAUUGCAGGGGCAUAUGGAACUUCACUAAUCCUGGUGCUGUAAGCCAUAAUGAGAUCCUGGAGAUGUACAAAAAAUAUAUGGAUCCUAGUUUUGCAUGGGUCAACUUUACUCUGGAAGAGCAGGCCAAA